UCUGCUUCACCAGAUGCGCAGUCUUGGAACUCGACAGGAGCGCCUGGUCUGACUGGAAGAGGCCCUUGUGAACAAGGAUAUUUUUGUAGUAGCUGGAGUCGAAGACCUCAGGACUGGGAGGGUCCAUUGGGACUGUCAGGCUCGUGUCGGUGCUCGCUUUGGGGCACUUCUUCUUUAGUUUCUUCGCGUAAGCCGGAUCUAAGCUCGGAUCGGUGGUGGCUGUCGAGCUGAAGUUGUGCAGCCGACUGUUGAUGCUGGUGCAAUGAGACUUGCCGAUGGUGUGCGCCCCUGAAAUUACAAGAAUAGCUCCACAUGAGAAAAUAAAAUCGUAGGAACCACAGCAUAUGGGUUCAGUUGUGUCCAAGUUCGACUGAAAGAUCCCUUUAAACGUUUGUAUUCUUCAUACCAGAUAGGGUGACCAAGUCGUGCUUGUUCAGACCCUUGCUGGCAAAGUUCUGUGUGAGCUGUGAUAAAUUGAAAGUCGGAGGCGGUAAGUUUCCGAAUGUCUCCGAGCUACGGGAGAUCCUCCCGUCCCUCCUUCCCGAGGGGACCUCAUACCAAAAUCCCCCGCUCUGCAGUCACGAACAAAGUCAGCCGAGCAGUCAUGGUCAUCCACAGGGACACCAAGUCUUAUGUUCACAAAUGAUACGAUGUAGUCAAGAACAUUGGUGUAUUGAUUCUACCAGCUUAACACUAUCUCUGGCAGCAAAAGCGAGGAUGUCGGCGCAGGACACGAUACCCUUGCACUGCUUCUCCAGCUUGGCCUUGGCCUCGUCGAUGAUCUCGAACCCUUCCAGGCUUGGGUUGUUGAUGGGUGAGUCCUUCUCGGCGGUGUUGUUCGAGGUGGAGUCGAUAAGAAUUGAUCCGUCGCAACCCUAAAAACAUCAGAAGGAAAGAAGAUAAACCGCCGUUGACGAGCUACGGUAAUCGAGCAUAAUUUUCUUUUCGACGAGAGACAUAAAUAUCGGCGUAACUGGCUACGUAACACACCCUCACGAAACAGUCGUGGAAGUGCAUCCUGAUGAAAUCAGCGGGCAGACCCUUGUCCUUCUUCGUCGCCUUCUUUACAACCUUCUUCACGAUGAACUCAGCUUGGGGACAUGUAUUUUGGUAAUACCCGACACGAAGCGUAGCUUCUGCCGUAGCGCUGAGACACAUGCCAAGCACCAGGGCCAAGAACACUAUCUCCCCACUUAUUCUCGGCCCCAUGGUCGCUCAAUCUCUGAUACCUUUGCAUGCCUUCCGGUGCGUGACUUAUAACCAUCGGAUCGAUAGCCCUCUGGUAUUUUAAUCGAAAUUAUUGAUUAUCCAUUUAAGUGGAUUAUGGUGUGGCAGAGCUGGUUCGUGGAGGUUGGGUGCUAGCCUAUCGCUAGGACGUAUUAGGUUGAGGUUGAAUGAGGGAGGUUUCCUUGAAUAUAGACUUCGACAGCUCGUCCUGACGGCGACGGCACUCGUUGUUGACCAGCGACAAGUGGGCAGAAACAGAAGAGUUUGAUUCUAACGGACUAUGAUGAUGACAAUAACCGCAACACAGUAGUUCCGUGAUAAUUAAUUGGAUGUCAAGAGGAGGUCGUCUUAUGACAUCGCUAAGAUUCCUGGGGAUCAGACAACCCAGCUUGUUCCCCAAGUCGGAUGACGGUUGAACUUCUUGAAGCAAGGAGUCUGUUAUUCUUUGGUUCCCCUUUUAUUAGUCUACUGGAUUGACGAGUAUGCGUCUCUUUUGUACGUGAAAAGCUGAAUCCUGGGGAGCGGAUCAACGCUAUUUACUAUGAUGUGCUCCUCCGAUAAAAGACGCGUGUCCAUCACACUUCGACGUGACGGCAGCUUUAUGAUGGCAGAGAAGAUGUGGCACGAGGAUCAUGGAUUUUCUUCUGAUUUCUCUGGCAUUGUUUCCGCUUUCCCUAUCUUCAAUGGUUUUAAUUUGAAUCCGUUUCUAACUCCUCUUAAGAAUAUUCAUUUAUACUUUUAUACUGAAAGAAAACUCCGGUUGGAGGGAAGUGUAACCCGGACAAAGAGCAGAUGUCAUCUCGAAUGGUACUGAUGGUCCCUUUUGACGGGACUAGAUGAUGCGGAAGAAUGGGAAGAUAACGCGCAACCUGUUAAAUUUCCAUACAGCAACGAAUUUGAGGAGAUUUGAUGCGGUCCCCUAUUAACCCACAAAAGACAAAGCUGGAUGUGGUACUUUGAGAAAACUGAUAGGUUAGGAUAUUUGAAGAACGAGAUGAGGAAUUAUCAGGCUCAAGUGUUCAGGAUAAUUAAGCAAUGUUAAAGAUAACAGUUAUCUAACGGAGAAAAGGUAAAGAAAGAGAAUACCAGUGGGGAACUUACAUGCCUUCCGUCGGCAAUGACCCUAAAUCUGAAGUGUGGAAUCUUGCUUCACACAGCAAGUCACCAUGAUAGUGUGGGUGGUAGGAAAAAAGAGUAAUGAAUAGAAAGUUGACCCUGACGAUCAGCUCUUUUCAGAGCGUAGGUAGCCCUCGCGGCUUCUCCAAAUGAAGAGAAAAAAAGAAUUCAACUUCAACUAUCCAAUCCAUAUUACAAGCAUAUUUUUAUAGGUCUGGAAGUCAGGAAGAUAGACAGAUAACUAACUAAUAACAACUAAUUAAUAAUAAACAAAGUCGUGGUGGUGAUGCAUGGUACAUGUGCGACAUGACCGUAACCCACUCCCUUCCUCUUGUUGUUCGAUACGUGGGCGAGAGUGUGGGUCCUCUUUCCUUCUAUCGUGCAGGUGAGGUGGCGACUUCGGUUCUUCAACAGCCACCAAGGUCUUCUGAUUUAUGUCGUUGUCACUAGAAGAAAAGAGUUGGUGAGGAACUAUUAUUGGCACCAUGGAGUCAGUCGCUGUUCCUAUCUAAUAGAGAAAUCAGACCCCGGGGAGAUUUCGCAAAAUUCUCACCGACAGGAGAUUCAUCUCGAAUUGAUUCCUCAACCGCUUCGUUAUCUUGCGACGACAUCUUUGAGCAGUUUUUCUGUAGCUUUUGAUAUGUCUAUGAUGAUUACCUGGCACGUGGACAUAAGAGCUGAAAAUUUGAAAGCUCCAUUCCACCUUCCAUAAAUGUCUCUGUGAAUCAACGAGGUUGAAAAUCCUCGUCACCGUCGAUAUAUGAUGCUGUUGAUCCGACCGAAAACCUCACUACCAUCAGACCGUGGACACAAGCCAGUGAUGAACUGUUGUUAGAAAUGUUCUCUUCUUCCAGCAACAUUUAAGAUGGGUUUGGUGGGUCGAAUCACCAUCGAAAGAGGGAUAGCUGUCGAUUGUCAUAAUCUGACCGGGACCUGAUUUAUCGCGAAGCACGUUACUUCGGCGAGGAAUAAAAAACAUUGUUCUGACUACGUUCCACCAAUCCAAGAAGUGAUACUUAAGGCUUUGGUGGGCGGGAAUAAAUGCCAACUUCUAUCACUAAGUUAUAUAGAAAAACAUAGGACCUGUGGGAAUAACUUAAUAAAAGAAAGAGCACAGAAUCUAACGCCAUUAUUGGGGUUGGCCUUUUCUUCUGGAAUUUUUAAAUGCGUGGGUUGACGAAUACAUAUUAGCGGGUUUCUACAGAAAACAAAGGCUGGGUAUAAAAGUAAACUAAUUCGGAUUCUUCAGCGAACUGAUCGACCGACGGAAAGUUUGGAUCGUUCUUAAAUCCAUGCAUCUUGCGGGAUUCAGAUACCUAUGGACAGUUGAUUUUCAGGCCCUUAAGGGUGAUUAGGUCUUAAACGUACCUCUGCAUUCCUAGUCUCUAUUCUAACAUCACCAACAGAAUGUGAAUAUUACUUCAGUGAAUACAGCCAACCUGCUGGUGAAACCUAUGCACUUCUAAAGAAUACGGGAAAUACUCGUUUUAUAAUAAAAGCGCAAUGAAUAACAGACUAUGCAGCAAGAUGAUAUCAAAAGGAAUGCUUGCAGCACAUGCUGUCCGAAAGUCCUUCCAGCGGGGUCGGAAAAUCACUGUUGAUUAAUGCUAAUUAGUGUGUUAAUUCUGGUUUUCGAUCCCCAGAACCUUGACUAGUAGUGCUAACCUCCCUCUCGCUUAUUUUAUUAGAAAAGCAGACUCCCUCCAAAUGUUGGAGUAAAUAUGACUUAGUCCUGACAACGACACCCAUGCACCUACGAACUGUAGUGAGAAAGACGUGCGACGCAAGAAGAGGUAAGUGACCACUUUACGCUUUUACUUCAAUGGAGCCGGUGACCUGGGAAAGAAUUGGCAAAAGCAGCUUGAACUCGGAUUGACCUUGAUGUGAGGUUGAUUCGGCACGUUCACAUCCGAGCUAGGCACAGAAAGGCUAGCCGAAUAGACCCAACAGUGUUUGGGGGCUCUUAUAAGUGUUUUCUCUCCAGUAAGAAACUAUAAUGACAAACGAUACUGUUGACAAAACAGAUAAAUGUUCGUGUAACGAUUUACCAUUAUUUUUAAAGGGCACUCUAGUCGAUUUUUUUUUCAAACGGAUUGUGACUGAGGUCAGGAUAAUAUGUAGAGAAUACUUACCCUUUUGUAGAGUCAUUCCUUGAUCAAAUCUCGUGACUACGUUUUCUGGAAGCUUUUUUGAAUAACAAAGAACAAGGAGUUUUCUCGAUUGACAUAAUUUAUUGUACGGGUUCAAUAGGCCUCAAUAAGCCCAACAGUCUGGGGACAACCUUGUGGUUCAAGGUACUGAAAUGUGCCUCGAUGUUCACAAAAAUAGAAUGUAAAAGGUUGUUUGAGGACCAACACUAUUUUUCAAAACUAACAAGUGAGAAAACAAACACAGCCUAAAUCGCUGCCUAAUAGAUCAGUCUGUAGAUAUCUUGGUUAUUAGGGUCAAGAGAAUGACCCUGAAGCAUCACUUAAAAUGGCUCAAUCGGUAAUUAGGUCAGUUUAGACAAAAAACUUGUUGGUGAAGUUGGGCUUUGUUACUGGCCAUUGACGACCCAAACCAUCAGCGAUGCAGACACUGGUUUAAUUAGCAGGAUACUUUUAGAUAAUUGGAGCUAUUUUCAGUUUCAUUAUAUUUACUUUUUUACAACAUAAGAAUUCAUGUUUACCCAGAUUGUUUAUGUUAGUACAAUAACUAACUGAGAAACAGGGUUGUCUUCAACGCAAGCUAAAGGGCCAGUUUGGCUGUUUUCAGAAUUCUCUUUGAGUGCUUGACCUAUUUUUUCUUCUAACCAUGAAUCUUGCCCUGAUUAUUGAGAACAAUUUCCUCAAUGACAUCAGUUAUAACACUGACCUGAAAUGCUAUACUUUCUCCACUAAUUGAUAUUUGUUAUAUAGAAUGGAUGUAAGUUUCUAAGAUUGAACUAUCAAUGUCUUUGUUACCUGGUGAGAAAUUUUGAGAUGCAACUCUACCUACGUAGUGCUCUACUAUUGACUAGGGAUCAACAGUCAUGACUAUUGAUUGGUUGACUGAACUGAAAUGAAAACCGACUGUUACAUGAAAUGCAAUGAUCGUUGUUCUAGUUUGGUCACAAGUUUUCAUUGUCGAGAAAUCGAUGACCAUUGGAUCCAAUGGUUGUGACAAGGAUUGAGAGCCUUGUUGAGAGAGAAACUGAGAACCCCCAAAUCUCUCUCUCUCUCUCUCUCUCUCCCUCCUUGUCAAUGGGGAUCUCUACUGCCAUAGGCUCAUCCUCCUCUACCAUAGGCUCCUCCUUUGGUAUUGCAAACUCCUCCUCUAUUGCCGCAUGCUCCUCCUACACCAUCGUAGGCUCUUGCUCCAUCAUAAGGAUCUCCUCCUCUACCGCCAUAGGCUCUUUUUCUACCAUAGGCAUCUCCACGGUGCUCAUUCUAAAGUGAUGCUUGCAUUGAUGAAGUGCUAGUAGAUAAGUACAAUGAGAGUUGAACAAGAUUGAAAUGGAUUAUUUAAGUGAAUCUUGCAUCAAUGAUUACAACGUUGAGUCACUAGAAUGGUGGCACAAAAUUAGAUGCAACAAAUAUUGAUAAUUCAUUGAAUUGUCAUGUUAAAAAGUCAAUAUGAUUAAUGAUCAAAGCCUAAGGAAUAUAGUAAUAUAAUAAUUACAUAUUACAUAUUUUACUAAUAUAUUUUCGCACUCUAAUUUAUGAAUUAUAUCAUUUUCUUAUUUUCUACAGGAAUAUGAGCAUCAAGGCAAAUGAUAAGGGGGAAAUUAAUUUACAACUAUGACGCAUGGCACAUAAUGUUAUCAUGGGCAUUUUUACAAUAUGUGAACAUAAAAAGGUAAAAUUGUAAAGAAGACAUACUUGUAAAUCUUGCAAGAUAUAGGGGCAAAACGAGAAGGGCUAAUGUAGGGCACAAGCCCUAAAGAGGGGAGGUGCUGCCAGCCCUCUCUUUAUUCAUGAUCAACUCUCUCUCUCUCUUCUUCCUCCUUUGGUGUGUCCCUCUCCUAUUGUGGGGAUGGCUUGCUCCUCCUCUCUCGGUGCCACCUACAACACACCAUAGGUGGGUUAGCUCAUCUUUUUCUCCCCUUUCCAAUGGUGAUCACAAUAGAAAUGAUCGUGGGUCUCCUCCUUUGGUGCAGCAAGAAGAGGAUCAACUGAAAACACCCCUAUGUGAGGUCGGCAUUCUCUCCCCAUGUCCAUUAGAACAAAAAGGAGAAAACAUUAUUGUUUCGUUCCUUUAACUUUCAUGUAAUUAAACCUCUUUUAUGCUAGUUAAUUCAAUCAAAAUUUUGUGAAACUCUAUUCCCCUUCACCUCAUCGAUUUUCAAUAGUCAAAGUUGUUGAAGGAAGUGAAGAAUCAUCCCCACUGGCCAUCUGUAUCCUAUUUAUGAGGUGGUUGGUUAAACCUUGAGAGAGAUCUUCCUCUCAACAUGCAUUAAAUAUUUCUAUUCAUGUGGUCUGAAUUUUAAAGAGUAAACAAAUAAGAAUAUCACAAUUAAUUAAUAAACAACUAAUUCAUGUCAAAAUUUAUUCCUUUUUGUAAUAUUUCAUAAAUUUUAUUCAUAAAAAUUGACCUUACAUGUUUUCAGCUCUAUUGUAGUGUCAAAGUUGUGGGAUGUGUACCAUGAUUGAUUUUGAUUAUUCAUUUAAUCACUUUACAUCUCAAGGAAAUAUCCUUUUGUUGUUUACAAAUAAAAUAAUGAUCGGCAGUACAUGUAUGAUCUCCUUGAUAUUGAGAAACUGAAAUGUACUAUUGUAGUGCUCUUCCAAAGAUGUGUAAACAUAAGUAUAUAUCUACAAUUUCAUGGACACUCUGAUUGUUAUGCUUAGAUCACUAUACUUGAUGUUUUUAUAGUCUUGUUGCUCAUGUACUCUUAAGGAAGAUGACAUUAUAUAUAUUUCACAAAAUUUUUGCCAAAUAUUGUGUUACUAUUAUAUACCAAAGGCUAAUUAAUGUGCAAAGUGAUCCCAAGUAGCUUUAUAUGUAUGCCAUUAUAUGAAAACUUUUCAUUUGGAACCUUGGGACUUCUAAACAUAAGGUUAAUACUAAAUUGAAGAACCUCAAUAUCCAAUUUUUUUUUAACAUUUCAAAUAUCUCUAUUACCUUAAGAAGUAAUGCAGCUUAAUGUGCAUAAUGAAUAUGCUGAAUCUAAUUUAUAAGACUUGAAUAUUCUUUUAAAAUAUAUUAGUGAUAAGAAUCUAUAUUAAACCAUUUACUUUAUAAUAGAAUUAUGAUCCUUAAGAUAUGGUCAUCAAAUAAAUUUUGCCAAAGAAUGAUGCAUAUGGCUCUAUUAUCCAAUAACCUUUUAUUUCCACCAUUGCUUUUGAAAAUAACAACACAUUCAGUCACUCUUAAUCCAUUUGGGGUGGAAUCAGUUGAUGGUCUUGGGACGGGGGAAAUAUGGUUCAAGGUAGAAAGAGAAGGUCAUUUGCUCAUUAUCAAUUUUAAAAUGGAGUAAAAUUUGCAUAGUAAAAUUAUAACUUGUCCUUAGAACAAAUCCUCACAAUUACAAACUCUUCAAGAACUUGUACCCAAAGAAUAAAAAGACAUCAUCAUGAUAGGCAGUGAUUUUAGAGACCUAAGCUACUGAAAUCUACUUAUAAGUUCAUGAAUAGAAAAAAUGAAAAUGAAUGGCUCAAAGAUGGAUGCUUCUUGUAAAUAGGACUAGCAUGCCAUUGAUUGGGCCCCACUACAAGACCCAUAAAAUGUAGAGCAAGUUGAAGAGCUCUAGCAAAUUUUGAAGUAGGAGCAUAAAUAUGAUAGUCAAAGGUGAGAAAUUGUGCUUAGAUACUUGUAUACAACCUACUGAAAUUGAUGUUCGACUACCAAUAACUUCCCCUCUAAAACAUCAAUGUAUAAUAAACUCACAGAACAGUGGUUGAUGUAAGAUUCUCCUCAAUAAUGAAGUUUGAUAUUUUCGAGGGCUGUCAGGUAGUAGAAAACUAGAGUGGAAUUUCCUGAAAGGGAUGGAGGUUCUAGUGCGUGCAAUUUCAGAAGAAGAAGACAAGAAAGUAUGUGCAUCGAGACAACUUUUGUUAUUGCAUGAAAUUAAAACCUAACAACUAAAAAAGCUCAUGGCAGUGUGUACUUCAUCUAUGACAUGCAGAAUCUAUGGGGUAGUUUGAUACCUUUUGUUUCUAUGUGAAGUUGAGAUAUUUUCUACUGUUGUGAUUUGACUAACCUUUUGCCCUUCAUUUUUUUCAUAUUUUAGAUUUAAAUUACUUUUCAUCAUUAUAUUGAAAAAUGUCAAAAUUUACUAUUUCAAUGUCACAAGUAAAUAUAGGAUUCAUGAGAUCUAACUUGUAUGAUUUUAUCCUAAAUGUUUAUGAAUGAGGCUUGAAGAUAAAACCUAUUAAUAAAACUCUCCUUGACCAUGAAAGUAGGGUAAAGGGAUGGAGUAGCUUAGAAAAGCUAUUAAUCAUAGGGUGCUUGACUUCGAUACUACGAAUAUUAGAUGCCAUCACUAGUUUGUGUCAUCUGAGAUAGCUAUCUUAUAAUCACUCGACAACAAUUACAAUAAAAAUCUAUUAAUUAAGGAAAUAUGUUGCAUGAGACUUAGCUAUGAAGAGAAGUCACCUAAGAGACUAAGUUGUUGAUCAUCCAGGUCUUAAUUACAGUGGGACGGGGCUUCAGAUGUGGACCGAUGUCUCAAAUGGCUAUAGUGGACUAAUGCAAACUGAAUGGCUCACGAUGGCUUGAGCUACUAAUGUGGGUUCAGACCAAGGGGCUUGAGUUGACUAGGGAUAGACUAGGUAACCCAAACUAAUUUGGCCAACAGUGCGAGUCCCAUAAAUCGGCAUUUUAAACCUUAAUUGGGAAAUAAAUUACACGAAGAGUCAUGCAAAGGGGAAAGACAUGAAGGGAAAUGAUGGCAAUAGAACCAGUGGCGACUAGCGAGAGAGAGGGCUGGUGAGGGCAACUGUAAAAUGGCGAUAAAUAGUGGGAUUGCUAAUGGAGACUUGGGUGACAAAGGUUCUAGAAUGGAAAGGCAAAAAAGGUGAUGGUAAACAGUGAAAGUGAAGGCCAAAAUGAAUGGUACAGGUGGCAAUGGUGGAAGGAUCUAUAACAAUGAUGGUGGACGAGAGUGGAUGGCAUUGUCGAUGUGAAGUAGUGGCAGAUAGCGAGGUGACAAUAAGGACAAAGAUGGUGAUGGUGGGGAAGGCAGUAGUGGAUGCAAAAACGAUAGAGGAUCGAAAUGACAUUUGGGUGGACGUAGAGGUAGAAGGCAAAGCACCUAACUAGGAGCAAGGGGGUGCACUAGACUUGUAAAAUUGACAGAGUGAAGGAGGAUGAGAGUAGAAUAAAAGGUAGGGCAGAGGGAUGGAAGAAUAGAUGAGUUGUAAAAAGUGUAUAUAAUAAUCCUCCUCAACUUUGUUUCGUGGGUACAUGAUGCACAUAUAUAGUUUUUUGUCAAAAGUUUUCAUUGUAGGUUGACUACAUGUGAUGCAUCAUUGUUUGUUGGUUAGACAUUUUUCGACCGUUGGUGAUGUUUGAUGUCUUAGAGACUAUCCAUUGCUAGGUACCUACCAUUGACCAGUGACUGGCCAUUGAUGUGCGUUGGGUGAUAGUUGAACUAGUGUUCACACUCCCUCACAAGCUCUAUAUCAAUAGAGUAAGGAGGCAAGAAGUGGAGCUUGUUGCACAUAAAUUGAAACUGAUGUUGGGGAAGAGGUUUUGUGAGGAUGUCUGUGGGCUGAUCUUUGUUGGGGAUAACUAUUUGUUGUGACUUGUUCCCAAAUGAAAUGAAAGCCAAUUUUGAUAUGUUUUGUUAUGACGUGGAAGAUGGGAAUUGGCAAAGUAGGUAGGUAGUGUUGAUGUUGUCACAACACAAGGUUGGAGUGACAUGUAAAGAAAUUCGUAGCUCAUAAAAGAGAGACAUGAGCCAAAUGAGUUUGGCCGUGGCACUCGUGAGAGAUUUAUACUCAGUUUUAAUGCUCAGACGAUAUUUGGCUGCUUCUUAGAACUCCAAGAUACAAGAUUAGUUUCGAGGUAGAUCAAGUAUCCAUCAGUUGAGUGAUGAUUUAUAGGGUAACCGAUGUAGUCUACAUUGCUGAACUUGCAAAGGCAAAUGUUCGAGUGUUUGUGAAGCAAAAGGUCGUGAGAUAGACUAUCUUUUAGAGUCCAAUUAAUAGGGUUGGGGUUAUGCAUGUGUUGGCAAGUAUAAGUGAUUACAAAAGUAAUAUUAGGAUGAGUUAGAGUUAGGUAUUAAAGGCCGCUAAUGAUGCUACGGUACACCAUGACAUCCAAAGCCAUAGAGGAAAUGCAAAGAGGAGAGACAUAGCACAAUGUGAAAAUGGGUUUGCAAUCUUACAUCCACAUCUUGGUGAGGAGUUUGACAAUAUUUUGAGAUUGAAAUAAUAAAUAUCGAUCAUGGCCAAGAUUGUGUAGAGUAAAUGUGGAUUGGAGCGAGCAGACUAGGUAGUGGUACUCGAGAGAUUAGGGUUCAAGAUUAGAAUGUCAUCAACAGAAACAAGAAGAAAAAAUAGUGUGCAAUUAGUGUACUAGUAGAAGAGAGAGACAUCCAUUUUGAAAGCAUGGAAGCCAAUCGAUUAAAGGUGGGAUGAGAAUUUCUUAAAUAGUUCAUGUGGAGACUAUUUUCAGUCAUAUAAGGAUUUGCAGAGUAAACAUGUGAUUCAGACAAAGUGGGUUAGAGAACCCAAGCAAUUAUUUCAUAUAUAUAGUUUCAAAGAGAACAUCAUUAAGAAACACGUUGAAGAUGACGAGCUGACGAAUGUGCCAUUGUUGACUAAUAGUGAGAACAAGUAAGACACAUAUCAUGAUGAUUUUGAUGAUGAGGCUAAAGGUCUCAAAGUAGUCAAAUCCAGCUUAUUGGCUAAAGCCUUAGGCAACGAGGUGAGCUUUGUAGUGGUCAAUGGUUCCAUCAUGGUUGAAUUAAAGUCGGUAUAUCCACUUACAACUAAGGACAUGCAUGUUUGGUUGGGGAGGAACAAGGAGCCAAGUAUGGUUGCAAAGGAAGGCACUGAAUUCUACCAUCUUGCGUAAAGCCAACGUGGAUCUUGAAAAGCUUGAGAGAGGGAUUGCGGUUCUGAGAGAGUGGAUAGAGAGGUGGCAUAACAAUGAGGUAAUGGGUAUCUGGAGCAAGUAUGAGCUUGGCAAAGCGUGACCUCAAGUUCCAACUUGACCACAUUGUUGACAAUAGAGUGUUGAGCUAUAAUAACCUAAUAUAGCUAUUGGAGAGUGCAAAAUUUGGGAGAGUGAUGAGGUAAAGAGUGAGGGGAAGCUGAGGCAAUGGCUUGAUCUAGAGAGGCGAUAGUUGUAGUGGUGCCCAUUAAGGGGGUAGAGGGAGAGCAUUGCAAUGAGGAUAUUAGGGCUUGUGCGGGUGUCGUGAAGGCCGAUAGGUUGAGAGGAGCAAUGCAAAGUAGAGUGGAUCUGAGGAGCCCAUUAGAGGAUGGGGAAGAAGAGGAGGAAGGGAUUGAUACAUUUUGAUCUGCUUAGGGAAAACUGAUUUCAUUAAAUAAGACAUCAUGAGAUAUGAACAACUUACCUAACUUUAGCAAAAGACACAAAUAACCUAGGUGUUGUGAGCUAUAUCCUAAAAAGAUCAACAUCCUAAAUAAGAUGUUAGUUUAUUUGUGGCAUAUGAUCUUAGAUUUGGAUAAUAGAGGCAAUUGAAAAUGUGAAGAAAAGAGUAGUUAGGAAUUGUAUCGAAAAUAUUUUGUAUGGCAAAUGCAUAUUAAGAGUAGAUGUAUUCAUCUGGUUGAUGAGAUAGGCAGUCAUUGAGCCAACAUCAUCCUAAAAUUUCUACAGAAGACAGACUUGAUGGAGCAAAGCAAGAGUUGUUUCAAUUAGGUGCCGAUAUUUUUAUUUGGCAAUACUAUUUUUGCUUAGGGGUUUUUAGGUAGGAGAUUUGAUGCACAAUUUUAACAAUUUGAAGGUGCUGAUGAAGUGAUUAGAAUUCUCCUGCAUCAUCAAAUUGAAAAGUACAAAGUAUGGUUGUGAAUUGGCAUUUGACUAGAGCUUAAAAGUUUGAAAAAUGAGAAGGAUGUUACUUUUCUUUUUCAUUAGAAGUAGCCAAGUAUAUUUGUUGAAAUCAUUGACAAAGAGGAUGUAAUAACUAAAGCCAAAAUGUGAGAGUGGGAGUGGGUCCCCAGACGUCAAAAUGGAUGAUUUAAAGAGGCUUAGUAGUUUUCUUUGGUGCUCAAAAGAAGGGAUUUUUUUGUGCUUUUGAUAUGUAGCAUGAAUCACAUAAGAAGUAUUUAUUUUAAUGGGUUAUAGGUAAGUUUUUUUUGGCAAUAAUUGUUUGUAGGAUGUGGAAAUGUAGAUUUCCUACUCGUAUGUGCCAUGUAUUUGGAGAGGCUCAUUUGCUGACCAACAUCGAGGGUCAGAGUUGGGAUGGAUAUAGAUGAUAUAGACCAUCCUUAACCAUGCCAUAGAAGAGUUCCUCCUCUGUUGUCCGAUCUUUUACUAAGUAAAAUUGAUAGUGAAAUUCAAAGAUAACAUCAUUAUUGGAGGUUAAUUUUUGGACAUACAAUAUGUUUCGUAGUUUAAACAUUCUUCAAUUAGCAACUAAAUGAGAAUCAUUGGAGGAGAGAAUCAUCAAACCUUGGCCAUUAUUAAUAUGAAGUUGAUUGGAACCUAAGUAUGGGAAUGAUUGUCGAAGAUUGAUAACUUUAGGCGUUAUGUGAUGAGUGUCACCACUGUCAAGGUACCAAGAUGAGGUUGACAAAGCUUCCAAAGAGGUAAAUGUGUUGGUGUAAUAUGCUUGUAGUUGAGGUUGCUGAUUUCUGACUUGUCAUAGGGCUAGAUGGCUAAAAUUAUUUUCAUUGUAACAAUCAUGAAUAUUACGAUUAAACCAUUCACAACAUUUAUGAACUCUAUGUCCCAUUUGAUCGCACAGUUAACAUUUAAGAAUAUAUCUUUCUUUGUUGCAUCUUUUGCCUUGUCUACAUCUGUUAGUUUGUCACCUAGGAUAUUUGUCUUAACUAGCUAGAUCGUGAUGUACUAGUUUGUUUUUGAUAGAAAGUUGGAAUUAUUUUGUGCCUUUUGUUAUUUAAACACUAUCAUUGUUUUGUGAGAGUGGAUUUGGAUGAUUGUAUCUUUAAGGCUUUGAUCUUCAGGUUGUGUAUUGAGACCAACAAUGAAUGAAGUAUAUUCUAAUAGUAGUCCUUGUGGAAAUGUGAACGUAAUAAUCAAUUCGCUCUUCAUUGAUUAUUCAAAUUUCCUUGACAUACUCGUCUAUUGUCAUUGAGACUUUGAUGAAGUUUUGGAAUUUGUUGUGUAACUCCAUGAUUGGGGAUUUGCUCCAAGAAGAGUAAUUUAUCUUGGUCACUUCCCAAGCUUCUUUCGAGGUUCUCUUGCUAAUGACAUAUGUGAGAACUGAUUUCGAUAAAGAGGAGAUUAUUAACACCAACACAAAUUGAUCACAUCAUCUCUAGACUUAAUAGAUGAGAUUUAGAGUGACGAUUUUAUUUUUGUCUAUGAGGGUGAGUGCUAGAGCUUUUUCUUUCAAGAUAUAAUCAAAGCCACAGUUCCUGAGUAGCGUGAUGAGUUGUGUCUGCCAUAGCAAGAACUUAUCUUUGGUUAGCUUUAGUGGGAUUGACUUACUUGUCAUGAGAGGUGUUGGUAUCGUCAUAGAGGCAGCCAUAAUUGUAUAAUUCUUCAGGGCACUUGAUGUGAAUUAAUUGUUAUAUAAUAAAUCACGUAAAUUUAAAAUUUAUAAAACUAGAAAAGACCAAUUCUUAAAAUUUUAAAUGUUUAUCAAAGUGAAUAAAUCAAUUAUAAAUCGAUAAAAGAUUCUAGAAAUAGUAGGAAAUUUUUAGGUCGAUCACAGGGAUGUAAUAUAAUAUCAGAUAAUAUUUCAGAAUUUUUCUUAAAAAAUACGAUUUUUUAUGAUUUUUUAACUAAAUGAUAAAUAUAAUAUAUUAAAUAAAUGCAAAUAGGAAAUAAGACAAUUACGUCAAGUGAUGUCAGCGCGUGAAGAAUAUGAAUCAGGCGAAAAUAGAGUUCCGACCUAUGAUUCUUUCGUAAGCAAUUAUCAUCAAAUUAAUUGAUCAAAUUUAGUUCUGUAAAAGCCUGAAGAAUUGUAUCUCAAGUACGAAAUAUAUUGAAUGUUGAAAUCGUGCUAAAGAUUAUUAAUUUAAAUAAAAAUAAAGUUUAAAAUAGGAAAAAUAGAGUUCUGACUUUGCGGCGGUGAUCGUCAGAAUUUUGCGUGUUUAAAAAAGAAAUCGUACAAUGUCCACGGCCUCGAAGGCUCUCUUUGGACAAAGAUGAUGUGGUUGAUCUCUAGAUCUUCUUUUGAAGCUCAGAAAUCGGUGGAAUGGGUCGUCAAAUCGUUUCCGGUGGUUGUCACCCGGCAGAAUAGAAAAACGGUGACUUGCGGCCCUCCAGCGACAGUCACUCGACAAAGGUGUGCUAGAUAGAGGUGGGGCGCAUCUCAGGGGCUUUGUUCUCAAGUUAGCACAGUGAGAAGAGGCCCUUUAUCGCAUUUGGUAUGCUCUCAAGAGGUGGCGACUCAUUUCCUAGCAGAUUGUCCUCUUCUUAGUGAUGGCUUGUUCGUCGAUCAAGCGGAGAUGAUUUCUUUGUUGAGUUCGUAAUGUUUUGUCUAGAAUCUUACACCAAUUUCGGCCACGAUGUUUCGUGAAUUGCAUUGACUAAGUUUUUGCUGAAUUUUUGAUGAUUUUUGCAGUUUAAUCACUCGUCAAAAAUCAUGAUUUCUUUGCCAGUUGUCUACCUACGAGAGAGAGAAAGAGGGAGAGAUAAAAUAAGUUCUAAAAUACUUUCAAUGUAUGAUGUCAUAACGAUCAUUUUAUAACAGUCAUUGAGGGGCAUUGUUGGCAUUUAGAAAAUAUGCGGGAAAAAAUAAGGUGAACGGUUUAGUCCCACAUCGGUUUUCUAGGCAAUUUUCACGCACAUAUAAUACGGGCGCUUCUUUAACCAUCAAUAGGUACAAAUCACCGGUGUGUGUACGAACACUCUUUGCCCCACGCCUGGCUGGCCAUCGGUGAUGUGGAAGGGGAGUGAUGCACACGUCAGCCACUUGAGCGCCUAGCUCACGGUCUGUGUCACCAGCCACUUGAGCCUCGAGCUCGUGGUCCGCAUCACCAGUCACUUGAGCCAUCGAGCUUGCAGUCUGGUCCUUAGCCACUCGAGCCUUGAGCUUGUGGUCCUUAGCCGCUCAGCGGCUCCGCCUGACUGGGCCUCCGACCCACUAGUAGGUCUGUGUGGCCGGCAAAUUUUUUGCUUUUUCCUUAAAUUUUUUUUCAUUUUUCUCAACAAAAUAAAAUUAUAAAAUCAUGUAAUUAAAAAAAUCAUAUUAAUCAACUAAAAAUCACUUUUCAUAAUUUAACACAAAAAUAAGUCUAUUUAUCAUGAGUUAAGACUAAAAACAUCAUCUUACUAAAUUAUUAACUCAUGAUAAUGAAAACUUAUCAACGUCCAUUAUUAAUUACAAAUGCCAUUACGCAAAUGGCUUUGAUACGGUGUAAAAUCUACUAAAUGAAGGCGGAAGAGAGUAGAACAGAAGAUAGGGUAGAGGGAUGGAAGAAUAAAUGAACUAUAUAAAGUGUAUACGAUAAUCUUUCUCAACUUUAUUUCAUGGAUAUAUGAUGCUUAUACAUAGUUUUCCGUCAGAAGUUUUCAUUGUAGGCUAAUUGUGUGUGAUGCGUCAUUGUCGGUUAGACAUUUUUUGACUGUUGGUGAUCUUUGAUGUCUUGAAGACUAUUCAUUGCCAAGUACUUAUCAUUGGCUAGUGACUGGCCAUUGAUGUGCGUCGAGUGAUGACUAAGCUGACAUUCACAAGACCAACUCUACCAAGGCAACUAGGUCCUCAUGACUAACCCUACUAGGGUGACUUGGUGAUGGACUUCAAUUGUUGGUAAUUAAAAUCCUUAAAUUAUAUAUUUAUAAACCUUAUCCAAAUAUAUGUAUAUCUUAAAUAUAUAGUAGAUUAGGGUUGAACUCAAGGAGAAUUUUGAAUUGACUGAUGUAUAUUAAUUGGUGAUGAUAUUCUAAUUUAUUUACUCUAUGAAAUUCAACAACUAUAACCAAGAAUUUUCAAUUACAUGAGUUUUUGAUUGAAUUAACUAGGAUAAAAGAAAUUUAAUUACACAAAAGUCAAAGGAAUAAAGUGACAAUGAUUCCUCUCUCUUGUUUUGGCAGAUGUGGGAAGGGAAUGGUGGCCUCACAUAGGAGCAUCUUUGGUUGAUCCUUUUCUUGCUGUGUCAAGGGAGGAGACCUAUGAUUGUUGUUGGCGUUGUUAUCACCACAUGGGGAAGGGAGAGGUGAGCCUGCCCACCUAUGGUGUUUUGUAGGUGGUGUCAAGGGAGAGAGGAGUAGGCCAUCCCCAUAGUAGGAGAGGGACGCACCAAUGGAGGAAGGAGAGAGAGAAGGGUUGAUCAUAAAUGAGCAAAGGGCAGGUGGUGGCUCCCCUCUUUUGGACUUGUGUGCCCUACCUUAGACCUUCUAGAAUUGCCCCUGCAUCCUACAACAUUUACAAGUAAGUCUUCUUUACAAUUUUACCCUUUUAUGUUCACAUAUUACAUAAAUGUCCUUAAUCACAUUAUGUACAUAGUAUCAUAGUUGCAAAUUAAUUUUCCCCUUUGUCAUUUGCUUUGAUGCUCACAUUUAUGUAGAAAAUAGGAAAAAAUAUAAUUCAUAAACUAAAAUGUGAAAAUAUGUGAGUAAAGUAUUUAAUAUAUAAUUAUCAUAUUCCUAUAUUCUUUAGGCUUUAAUCAUUAAUCAUAUUUCCCUUUUAACAUGAUAAUUUAGGGAAUUAUCACAACAUCCCACUUAAACAUUACUAGCCCUUUAGCAAUAUAUUAAGAUUGUGUUAAUCCCCCAAAACAUAACUCUUUCAAUUACUAUCUCCUUAACUACUAACAAUUCUACAAAUAUCCAGUCCUUAGUAUCAAGAAUUAAAUAAACUUUUAGAUCCAUAUUUGAAUCUCUUUUUCAAGCACAUAUUCAUCACUUUCUUUUUCUUACUCAUCCUUCCUCCCUCAAUUAAUAAAACUUGUUUAAUUUUUGAUCUUGAUCUAGCUUCAUGCUCUCCUUUAGUUGACAUGAUACUAAACAAUUCUUGGUGUAGUGUUUGCAUGACUUAGCAUCAAUUCUAGGUUAAUAUCCCCCCUCAAUGCCUAAAAUAUGAGGUAGGAGUAUGAAUUCCUUGUCUUAGUCUCACAUGUGGAAGCCCCAUGAGACAAGUUAGAAAUCCCAUUUCAUCAUCAAUGACCUCUUUCUUAUUGCUAUUUACUUCCAUAUUACUUUUAUGAGAGGUUUUUGCUCUAGUUGCACAUGUGAAAGCCCCACAGAGCAAAUGGGAAGCCCCCCUUCUCAAUGUUAUUGAUUUUCAUCUCUUUAUUUUUAGGAGAUAUUUUCUCAAAUCUCACAUGUGGAAGCCCCACAAAGCAAAUGGGAAAUCCCUUCUCCAAAUGCCCUUUUUUUUUUCGAGUUCAGUCAACUUGUAAAGAUCAUUUUUUCUCACUUUUCCUUCAAUUGACUUGUAUCAUGUUCAACAAAUUAAGAAGGGAGCAUUUCCACCUUUUCUUUCACAUCAAGCAUCCAAGAUUAUAACUUUCUAAUUCUAGAUUUGCAAUAUCUAGUCAAUGAUUUUUCUUUGCCUUCAAAAGGUUUUCUCCUACUUCUCAUCAAGAACUCUUCUUCCUCUUGACCUUUGCACUAUCCAUUAUGCAUCCUUAAUCAAAUAUUUAAGUUGAUUUCAUCAAAAUAGUAUAUUUUCUAUUUCACUUAGCUCACUCAUCCCCCAUGAAAACAUUAUCAUUGUCCUCAAUGAGUGAAAAUGAAUGCAGACAAAAAUUUAAAAGGAUGCAAGCUAAAAGAACACAAUCAUGAUCAACAUAUGAAGGUAUGAAAAGUAACAAAUUCAAUUGGGGUGGGAGUGCAAUCACCUAUUUUUUCCUUUCUGCACAGCCAACAUUCCUCCACAAUUUAUUCAAAUGGAAAUGUAGUUUCAAUUUUCGAAAUUAGUUGCUAAAUGAAAAGAAAACAAAAGUAAAAUUUAGAAGGUAACAAGCAAUGUAAGGCCCAUCCCAUCUAAGGAAUUUGAAGCAGUGAUCAGAUUAAGUGUUGCAACCCCAUACUCAUUGAAAUUUUCCAAAAUGUAAGGCCCAUCCCAUCUACUCCUUAAUUUUCCUAGAAAUAAUUUAAGCUUUGUAUAACCAUACCUUUUGUCCCAUUGUGAAGUACCUUAUGGAGAUGUGUUUAUCAUGAAACUCCUUUAUUUUUGCUUUAAAAAUUUUUAUACUUUCAUAAGAUUUAUUCCUCAGCUCAUCCAAUUCCUACAAAUCAAGAAAUCAUUUCUCCCCUACCGCUACCAUAUCCAUGUUCAUCUGCUUGAUGGCCCAAUAUGCCUUAUGCUCCAUCUCUACUAGUAAGUGACAUGCCUUGUCAUAGACCAACCUAAAUGGUGAAGCUCCUAAUAGAGUUUUGUAUGUUGUGUAUAGGCCCAAAGUGCAUCAUCAAGAUGUGAGGUCCAAUCCUUCUGAUUGGGAGAGACCAUCUUCUAAAAAAUCAAUUUAAUCUCACGAUUACCUAAUUUAGUUUGACCAUUUUAUUUUGGAUGGUAUAGCAUAGUGAUUCUAUGUUAAACUCCAUAUUUGCAUAGCAAGUUCUUGAAAUGUACAUUUAUAAAAUGUGUGCCAUUAUCACUAAUAAUAGCAUGUGGAGAAUCAAACCUUGAUAAAAUAUUACUUCGAAUAAAUUUUGUGACAACCUUGCUAUCAUUUGUUCGAGUGAAAAUUGCCUCCACCCACUUUGACACAUAAUUCAGUGCAAGUAAAAUAUAUUCAUGCCCACAUGAAGGAGGGAAUGGACUCAUAAAAUCUACCCCCCAUAAGUCAAAAAUCUCAACUAUUAGAAUGGGCUACAAUGGCAUUGCAUCUUUCUUUUUGAUAUAAUUGUUGAUUGACAUUUAAUGCAAUGUUGACGAAAUGUAUGUGCAUCUUUAAAUGAAGAAGGCUAGAAAAAUCACUUUGUAAAACUUUUGCAGCUAUCUUUCGACCUACAAAAUGGCCUCCAUAGUGUAGGGAGUGACAAAAUUCUAAGAUUUUACCUUGUUCAUCUAGAACAUAACGUCGUAGGAUCUAGUCUUCACCUAGAUGAAAAAAAUCAGGAUCAUUCUAGAAAAAACUUUUUACCUUAGCAGCAAAUCUCUCUUGUUCCUCUUUUCUCCAUCUUGUAGGCAUUUUUUGUGUAGGUAAAUAAUUGACAAUGUCAGCGAACCCAUGACAUAUUUUUAGUUUGUACUGAUAAAAUUUGCUCAUCUAGAAAAGCAUCAUGUUAAGUAGAUUGUUCAUUAUGUACAAUACAAGAUAAAUGAUCAACCACAACAUUUUCAAAUCUUUUCUUAUCAUGAAUUUUGAUAUCAAACUCUUGCAACAAUAAUAUCCAUUUUAGGAGCCGUGGUUUUGCCUCUUUUUUAGUAAGUAAAUAUUUCAAUGCUGCAUGGUCAAAAUACAUAAUUACCUUUGAUCCAAUGAUAUAUGCCCUAAAUUUUUUUUAAUGUAAACAUCACAGUCAAUAAUUCUUUUCAGUGGUAGUAUAAUAUAAUUAUAUAUCUGUAAUAGUCUUGCUAACAUAAUAAAUAACCACAGGUUUAUUAUUUAUCUUGUGCCCUACUUUACCAAUUGCAAAAUUAGAAGCAUCACACAUUAUUUCAAAGGGUAUAGACUAGUCCAAUGUUUGAAUAAUUGGUGCUUUUGUUAAUGCUAUUUUAAGGGUUAUAAAAGAUUCUACACAUGAUUCACAAAAUGAAAAGGAAUAUCUUUUGACAAUAAUGUUGUCAAGGGUCUAGCAAUUUUAGUAAAGUCUUUUAUAAACUUGCGGUAAAAACCAACAUGCCUAAGAAAUGGAUGAAUUUAUUUAAUUGAUUGUGGUGAAGGUAGAUUAACUAUAGCCUCAAUCUUUGCUUUGUCCACCUUAGUCCCUUUUUCACUCACAAUGUGGCCUAGAACAAUACCCUCUUUCAUCAUAAAAUGACUUUUCUCCUAGCUCAAUACUAAGUUAUUAUCCUCACACCACUUAAGCACAUUAGUCAAAUUAUUUAAACAAUGUUCAAGUGAAUUCUCAAAGACUGAAAAAUCAUCCAUGAAGAUUUCAAGGAAGUUACUAAUCAUAUCUGAAAAAAUAGACACCAUACACUGUUGAAAUGUAGCAAUGGCAUUGCAUAGGCCAAAGGGCAUUUUCUUAAAUGCAUAAGUGCCAAAAGGGCAAGUAAAGGUUGUUUUCUCUUGAUCCUCUAUAUAUAUUACGAUUUGAUUAUACCUUGAAUAUUCAUCUAAAAAAUAAAAAUACUUUGGACCAGCUAAUGUUUCUAGAAUUUGAUCCAAAAAUGGGAGGGGAAAAUGAUCUUUAUUUGUCAUAGAGUUAAGUUUUUUAUAAUCAAUGCACACCCUCCACCCCAUGGUCAACUUAGUAGGUACUUCUUCCCCUUUUUUGGUCUUGGUUACUAUCCAUCCUGACUUUUUAGGGACUAUUCGUAUAGGACUGACCCAAGGGCUAUCUAAAAUGGGGUAAAUAAUAUCAACGCAAUCUAUUUAAUGAUCUCACCCUUGACUACUUCUCUCAUGUUUGGGUUUAAUCUUCUUUACAUCUCUCUACCUAGUUUUGCAUUAUCUUCAAGAUAGAUUCGAUGCAUGCAUAUAUCUAAAUUUAUACCUCUAAGAUCAGCUACAGUCUAACCAAUUGCACCUCAAUGUUUGGUCAGCACCUCUAUGGUUCUUCUUUGUUGAUCUUUAGUCAAGGUUCAUAAAAUAAUCACAAACAAAGUUUGGUUAAUUCACAAACAAAGUCUAGUUAAUUCCAAGAUAAACAUACUUCAUAGAACUAGGGAGAGGUUUUAAUUUUAAUUCUGGAGGUUGUUCUAGUGAAGGUUUCAUUAGGGUCUUUCUAAUUUCUAAAGGUUCUAUAGCUCUAUGUUUUGCAUAUGCACAGGUUAGCUCAAAAUCAAUCACCUACUAGACCCAAUUGACCUCUUCUAUACAUGUUUCUAGACCCUCAACUUCCUCAAGUUCAUCUACCUCUUCCAUAGGAUAUUUUUUACUCCUAAAUACAUUUAAUUCUAUUUCUUUAUCAUCAGAUCUAAUAUUAAUAACACCAUUCUUGCAAUCUAUGUUUGCCUUUGCUGUUGCAAGAAAAUGUCUGCCCAAGAUAAUCGGUGCAUAGCAUAAAUCACUUCUAACUAGUACAUCUAAAAUCAAGAAAUCAACAGGAAAAUAACAACCCUUGACCUUCACAAUCAUGUCCUCCAAUAGCCCUUCAAGUGUCUUGACUGAUCAGUCAGCUAAUUAGAGGAUUAUAGGGGUAUCCUUGAGUUAUCCCAUCUGAAAUUUAUGAAACACAUCAGUAGGCAAUAGAUUAACACUCGCACCUGAAUCUAAUAAUGCAUUAAAAAAUGUUACUUCACCUAUUUGACAAGAAAUUAAUGGUGCACCUAGAUCUUUACAUUUUCUAGGUAAAGCGUGUGAAAUAACCACACUAGCUUUUUUGGAGAGUGUGAUCCUCCUAGGUGAUCAUUGUGGGGUACACAAAUUUUUUAAAAAUUUAGCAUACAUCAGUAUGUGUUUGACUACAUCCAUCAAAGGAAUUGUGAUCUGAACUUGGAAAAUUUUUAUUAGCUUCUCAUUAGGCUCAAGUUUUACCUUAGUUUUUGGCUCGAGUGCUUUAAGAAAAGGUAUGACCUUUGUUUUUCCUUUUAAAUCCUUUCCUUCUAAUGCUUCUUCUCUUUGUAGUUCUUUUAAUUUUUGUUUUUUAGUUCUCCCUCCCAUUCUGAAAAUAAACUAUCAUAGUCAUUCUCUGGUUCUACUAGAGGUGUGGGGUUAAUGUUCUCACCAUAGGGGUCUUUGAAGACUUUUCCAUUCCUCAAGAUAGUCAUGGCUUCCACAUUCUAGAAAUGUUCAUUUGUGUGUUGGGAGGAUGACACUUGAUGUCAUGCAGCAUUAACACCAUAAUUUCGUGGUUACUAAUAGGUUGACUAGGGAGCUGUCCCAACUCCCUCCUACGAUUUGCUAUGGCCAAAUUACCUAUUUCUUUUCCUAAUUUUUGGUGUUGAUGUUGCAUUUGAUCUAUUUUUUGUUACAUCUGCAGCAAAUUCUGUGCAUUUUCUUCAGAUUUUGCCUUGACUACAAUAUUCAUGUUUUGGAAUUGUUCAUGCAUCAUCUGCAUCAUUUGACUCAUUAUUUGCUGCAUCAUCACAUUAGAUGAAUCAACAAAUGGUGGUUUAGUAUUUGACUUCUAUAGUGUCUGAUUUGAACCUACAAGAGGCUGUCUAAAUUGGGACUGGUUAGAUGACUGAAAUGAAGGUUGAAAUCCUCUUGAAAAAUUUUGAGGUGGAUGUGAGUUCUAGACUUGUGUUUGACCUACAGAAAAAUUUAGAUUCAUGGCUGAGGAUUGAGAUGUUUGAAACCUUUGAGAUGGAGGUCUGGGAUUUAGACAAUUAUCUUGAUUUUUUUCAUGAGAAAUUUGGGUGACUCAUCCACCCCUAAUCCUAAGCAGCAUGCACCUGUUCAGGUGCCCCUAAAUUAGGUCCGCUAAAUUGUGGGCAUUAGUGGUCAUAAUGGUCAUUACUUCUGCAUAUCAUGCAUCGUGUAUAUAGUAUAUGAGAGGGAGGGUUUUUAAUUUUAUUUUGCUCAGAAUUCAAAAGGAGAUGAUCACAUAAUCUAUCAGUUUUUUGGUGGACUUUAGUCACCUCAGCUCUCCAUUCUUUUUCCUCUAAAUUUCGCACUUCAUGCACCCCCCCCUUUUUUGCUCUCCUAAGCUAUAGUCAUACAAAGCAAAGGACUCUUUAUUUGCUGAGUUUUCACUUAGAGUUUCAUAUAAUUGAUACAUUUCAUCCUCAUCCUUGCUCAUAAAUGCUCCUUCACAUGUUGCAUCUACUAAAUUUUUAUUUUUUUUAGGUAUACCAUCAUAGAAAACUCUAUUAAUUUUCUACUUUGCAAUUCCUUGGUGUGGGCAUUUUUUUAAUAGAUUCUUAAAUCUCUCCAAUGCUUCAUGAAAGGUCUCCCUUGAUCUUUGUGAGAAGUUUAAGAUUAAUUUUCACAUGACAUGUAUUUUUCUGACAGGGUAGAAUUGUUUUAUAAAAACUUGUUUGAUUUCUUGCCAAGAGGUCAACUCUUGGUUUAAUGAAAUUAACCGAUCUUUAGCUUUAUCAUGUAGUGAAAAUGGGAAUAAUUUCAUUCUCAAUACUUCUUGAGGGACAUUAGGAAAAUGGACCAACUCACAUGCAUAUAAGAAUUUUUCUAUAUGUUAAUGAGGCUCUUCAUUGGGUAGUCCAUGGAACGUGGGAAGCAUUUGUAUCAUCCCAUGUUUUAUAUCAAUGUGAACCCUUAUGAGCUAGAGGAAUCCUAAUUUGAGAUGUUGGCCUAUAAAAAUUUGGUAUAGAGUGGUUAUACAUAGGUCUAUAGGGGUGAGGAUUUUCUAAGUUUUGUGGCAUCUCCUGAUUUCGUAAGUUGGUUGGGUGAGAUUCUUGUUUGUUUUUCCCCACUAGAGCUCUAUCCUCUCUCUACUUCAGCUGCCACAGCACCCUGUUUAAGGCUUCUUCACUUGUCCAUGUUUUUGGAUAAUUAGUAUGACAUAAAAUGCAGAUGAAAGUACUAGAGAAGGUAACACAUUCAAUAAAAAUUUGGGUAAAAAUGAACUAUUUGUAUGCUAUUUGAAUUCAAUAAAAGACAAUGCUCAGAAAUCAAAAAGGAGUAAAAAUGUGAGUGAAAUUAAUAAUUCAAUGUAUUGUUGAAAUAAACUGAAAUAACAUAAAAAAAGAGAUCUAAAUGGCCUUGAAAUAAUUGGCAUGAAAUAAAAUUCAAUAGGACUCAAAGAAAGUAUUUAUCAAUUUUCUGAAUUUUUUUUAAACAAAUAGUGAAAACAAGAACUAGUAGAAUUGGCACCCACUGAAAUCAAAAUGAAAUAUAGUAUUGCGCAUAGUUCGAUAUUAUGAUUAAUAUUUUUUUUAAUUAGAAAAAAUAUGAAUCAUUGAGAUAAACUACAAGAACUCAGAUGUGCUUAAAGUCAGAUUCGUUCAAAAUUAAUAUAAAUUACCAAUUGCAAAAAUUCUCCCCGACAAUGGCAUCAAAAAUUUGAUGGAGUUCAGUUGUUGGUAACUACAAUCCUCAAAUUCUAUAUUUAUAAACCUUAUCCAAAUAUAUGUAUAUCUUAAAUGUAUAGUGGAUUAGGGUAACUCAAGGAGAAUUUUGAAUUGGCUGAUAUAUAUUAAUUGGUGAUGAUAUUCUGAUUUAUUUACUCUCUAAAAUUCAGCAACCACAACCAAGAAUUUUCAAUUGCAUGAGGUUUUGAUUGAAUUAACUAGGAUAAAAGAAAUUUAAUUACACAAAAGUCAAAGGAACAAAGUGACAAUGAUUCUUCCCUCUUGUUCUAAUGGAUGUGGGAAGGGAACGGCAACCUCACACUAUGCUGUCUUCAAUUGAUCAUUUUCUUGCUACACCAAAGGAGGAGACCCACAAUCACUGCUAGUGCUGUCACCACCGGAGGUGGGAGGGAGAGGUGAGCCAGCCCACCUAUGGUGUGCUAUAGGUGGUGCCAAGGGAGAGAGGAGUAGGCCAUCCCCACAGUAGGAGAGGGACUCACCAAGGGAGGAAGGAGAGAGAGAAGGGCUGAUCAUGAAUGAGGAGAGGGCUAGUGGUGGCUCCCCUCUUUUCGGCUUGUUUGCCCUACCUUAGACCUUUCAGUUUUACCCCUGCAUCUUGCAACAUUUACAAGUAAGUCUUUUAUACAAUUUUACCUUUUUUGUUCACAUAUUACAUAAAUGCCCUUAAUUGUAUUAUGUGCAUAGUAUCAUAGUUACAAAUUAAUUUUCCCCUUUGUCAUUUGCUUUGAUGCUCACAUUUUUGUAGAAAAUAGGAAAAUGAUAUAAUUCAUAAAAUAAAGUGUGAAAAUAUGUAAGUAAAGUAUUUAAUAUAUAAUUAUCAUAUUCUUAUAUUCUUUACGCUUUAAUCAUUAAUCAUAUUACCCUUUUAAUAUGAUAAUUCAAGGAGUUAUCACCUGGUCUUUACAACCAACUCAACUAGAGCCAUAGGGUCUUGUUAUCAUUUCCAUGGAGGAGUGAAGAACACAAGUCUCUACUUUUUCAAAAUCAAUUACUUGAGUCUCUCAAGGGUGAAGUAAGAACCUUAUAUCGGCCCAAAUUAGAUUAGGCUGAGCUCAAUUCAUCUGCCUUGCCCAUUACAACUAAAAUGGGCUUGAGUCCUACAUCACUCCCUCUUCCACUCUCCAUCCUCUCACUAUCCCGCUCUCUUUCCUCUCUCCCUCUCUCACUAUUUCUUGCUCUCUUACAUGUUAACCGAAAACAAAAUUAAUUUUUAUCAAAAUUGAAAAUAUCCUAAAAAUAAAAUGAAAUUUGUAUUCAUAAUUUUUAUUUUAUUCUCAUAAUUAUGUGAUUAAAGAAUUAUUACUUCCUUGCUCAGAGCCACUAUUCACUAGUGGGCCAACUGUAAGCUUCCUAGUUUAAGUAUGGCCUUCAAAUUCAGUUAUGAAUUAGCAGAUACUGACGAAGGUAAGAUAAAAUGGCAGAUCAUGUGAACCCGGAUUAUAAGAAAACAAUUCCAAUCGUCCAAACAGUUAAGGAUGCAUCUACUUAAAGCCAAGGAAGAAAGCACGGCCAGCGCCGACAGAUGGGCAGUCACCCGCUCAAAUAUGCAUUUCCCAAUCGUCUUGAAAAGACAAUUGGGCCCACACGCUCUCAGCAUGUGAGUGGCGGAUAUUAGGGGAGAAUGUACACGUCAUGGUUCGCCUGGAGUUUACGAUAUAAGACGAAAUGAAUUUCUUCCACCAGGAAGACGCAAGAUUAUUUCGUGUGGGGUAGGCGAUUUGGCCUCUGUCAAACGAACCAUACGAAAUAACAAGAACUGUAAGGAGAAAGAUAAAGCCACACACUUGUGCCACUUGAUGAGUCGGUGUUUAACGUGCCGACAUCUGCGGAUCGUUGACAUUUAGUCGAUCGCUUUCCUAUUUGAAACUUUCCACGCGGCCGAGAUCCCUUCUCGACAAACUCAAACUCUCCUACCACAGGCCAGUCAGUCUUCAACGGAUGAUUUCGCAAUGCAGUGGCCUCUAUUGGUUAAGCCCAUACAUGGCGACGUUGCAGCGCCUUUCCGGGGCGGCCCCAUCUUCAUGGUAACGGCUGCCCAUUUGAAUUAAAAUAUAGGAAGACGCCACACAAAACCUCACCCCCCUCCCUUUCACCGACAUCCUUCCCUCUGAAACGCCAGUAGCGUACAGCUAAUGGCUCUUACUUUACAAGGUGGUGGAUGAGUUGUGUUCGAAGCGGUGUUAAAUAAGGAGGAAAAACGUGGGAAUCAGGGGAAUAGGACGCCUUUAAAAUGGAGGGAUCCACUCCCUGUAGUGCGCAACCAAAGCUUUGAGAACUCUGCGAAUUUCAAGUCGCGUGGUAGGCGUGUGGUGAGGCUCAUUCUCUGUCCAGAAAGGAAAAAUGGGUUUCAGGGAAACUGGGGCUCUGUUACUGACACUUAUACUGGGCUUCUGGGUGACCCAGUUUGAAGCUCAGCUUCAAGUAGGGUUCUAUCUUAGUUCCUGCCCUGACGCGGAGAAAAUCGUUAGAGAGGAGGUGGUUAAGGCACUAGUAACGCAUCCGGAUCUGCCUGCUGAUCUAUUGAGGUUGCAUUUCCACGACUGCUUUGUCAGGGUAACUUUUCCACUUCUAACUCCACACAAAGCUUAUUAUUAACGAUGGAGCCUGCAAGAGACGAGUGAUCGUAUCAUUAUAGAACGUUUAAUAGUUCAUUUUCUGAGUUUGACGUUCUCUGGGGACCUCGCUCUGUCAUAGGGCUGCGAUGGGUCGGUCCUCCUCGAUUCAACUCCAGGUAGCACCGCGGAGAAGGAUUCCCCAAUCAACAACAGCCUUGAAGGCUACGAUGUCGUUGAUAACGCUAAAACCAGACUGGAGGCGAUUUGCCCCGGCAUUGUCUCGUGUGCCGACAUUGUUGCAUUCGCUGCCAGAGACAGCGUCAAACUGGUAACCUUUUUUGAGCAAACGAUUCAUGAACCGUUCACUCACUGCUCUGCUUAUCCUUUAACUUUUUGAGGUAAUCAUACAUUCGCAAUCUUGGGCAGAGCAAGGGCAUUCCCUACGAUGUUCCAGCCGGAAGAAGGGACGGCACGGUUUCCUUGAGCUCGGAGACAUUCACGAAUUUGCCUUCACCCACCUUCAACCUCGACCAGCUCACUAAGAAUUUCGCCAGCAAGGGCCUUACCCAAAAGGACAUGGUCAUACUCUCCGGUGCGUUUUGGAUUCAGAGCAUGCUGCGGAAGCUUAUCCGCUUCCAACUCAAUUAUCUCUUCCAGAACUAAAUUUUGUCGAUAACUUGCCUGAUUUUCAUCCUCACUAAGACCUCUACUUUACAUAAUCAGGUGCGCAUACCAUCGGCGAAGCCCGCUGCUCCUCCAUCACUAGUAGGCUUUACAACUUUAACUCCACCGGAAGGGUUGAUCCGAGCUUGGAUCCAGCCUAUGCGGCCAGACUGAAGAAAAAGUGCCCGCCAAACAGCGUUAACAGCAACCAGGGAGUGGAUAUGGACCCUCCCAGCCCCACUAUUAUCGACUCGAGCUAUUACAGGAACCUCCUCGUUAACCGGGGGUUAUUCACGUCCGAUCAGACCCUCAUGUCUAGCCCGGUGACGGCAUCACUGGUGUUGAGGAACGCCUUUAAUGACUUUCUCUUCAGGAGGAACUUCGCGGUCGCUAUGGUGAAGAUGGGUCGGGUUGAGGUCCUCACCGGAGCCAACGGGGAGAUCCGCAAGAAAUGCAACGUCAUUAACUGAUGGUCUUGCACUGGGCACGUGCGUCUCUUGUCGCGGAACUUGCUACAUAUUUGUGACGCCAUUUUUCUUGUGGUGUCAUGAACAAAUGUUCAACGUACUUCGAUGAAAUUUAUGUCAUCUUUUUUCAAAAUUAAAUAAAUAACUACUCAUUCCUGAAAUAUCGAAGUAGUUUCAUUCUAAAUGUGUUACAGGGUAUGACGGCGUCGGUUCUUCGCCUGUUGAAUCACACGACUUGUUAUUUUCUGUCGCUCGGUGCGCUUACGAUUGUGACAUCGUUAGAGUACAAUCUAUUUCCAUAAAAACGGAGUCCAAAUUCUUCGCCAACUGCAUAUUCCGGAUAUGAUAAUUCUCUACAGUAUGCAGUACUAUUGAUUGAUGAUAAUUUAAUCGACAUUUACAGGAAGCGCCACUAAUGUGGAGAUCGGUGAUAAUGAAGGUCAAAGAUUUUGAGCGACGGAAGCAUAUUCCGGAGAUGUAGCCGGAUGUGACAUGAGGUCUAUUGAGUCCGGUCCACGCGUGGUGUCGUGGACAAUUUUGUAUUGAAAGUCAUGUGUUUGGUAAAGCUGGUAGACAAUUCGUCAUGGCUAUAGCUCAUCGUUGGGUAAAUUCUUGAAUGCAGAAAGGCUCUCCAUGCAGAUCGUGAACUUCCAAACAAAUAUCCAAACGGAUGCGAUUGUGGGCCUCAAAAGUCAAAAAGCUCGACCUACAUGCUUGUUGCAAGUCAGUAAAUGAAAGAAAAGUUUAGUAAACAACGUGAACUAUUUCCUAAACUAUACAAACUCGAAAUCUGUAAUUUGGAUCGUAAUCAGUCCACGGUACAUUCUAGUUCCUAUCCGUCUUCCAUAUUCUUCUUCACGCUGAGAAAAACAAUGUCACAAUGGAGAGCACCUGAAUGUUUGUGAACAGGGAUUAUCUUUCAAUUGUUAGAUUCAUCAAUCAGGAGCUGAUAAUAAAAUCAGGAAUAAGAAUGCACACCACAAGUUCUUUGCAUUCCUAUCGUGAUCUCUUAAGUGAGUCAGCAUGACUCCCUCGUCGUGUGAUCUUUUUGGGGCUAGACAUGUAUCCGAAUCAAUGAAGAUGGGUUAUGCCGCGUUGCAACACAAAUCUUGAUUAAGAUAAAGAAAAAAGUUUGAGACAUGACGUGAAUGAAUAUGCUGUAGCGGACACUAAAAUCGUAAGCCAGUUUUCAAAACAAUAGUUGAGGGGUAUACUAUCAAUUAUAUUUAUGUACUUAUCAAGAUAAAAAUAUUUCAUGUAUUAACCAUUUCUUAAAUUAACAAUUUAUUUCGAUAAAAAUAAAGCUAAGAAAACGAAGCUGAAAUUAAGCCCAGUCCAAAUAUUUCGAUAACAUUAACAAUUUAUUUGGAUAAUGAUAUUUAUAUAAUACUAGAGGCUUAAAUCAAAUUGUAAAGCUAUCACAGGUUAGUUAAAUUCGAAGAAGAGGAAAUUUUAAUGCUUAUCAAUAAGAUUACGAAGAAGUAGUGACGCUGACGCAAAUUUAUUUAGGAUCCUAGAACCGACCGUUUGAAUCAGUCUUUUACCUUUCGAGUACUGUAGAUGUGCACGUGGAACCUAAUGUCUUUCUUUUUAUGUUAUCUUUACGUCUUCUUUGCAUGAUUGCCAGAGACGUAGGACUUUGUCCUUCAAUAUAAUCGUUUUCUUCCGGAAUCGCGGAAUAUAUUAUCCCGGGAUCACAUGCUAAAUUGACCUCUCCCCGCUUCACGCCAAUCUGAUCGAUCGGACGUCCAUUGGACGGCCCCAAGUGUCGCUUAGUUUCAGGCAUUCUACGUGCACCAAUGGGAGAACCAAACAUUGCCGAGCUCAUCACGAUAAGGCAUACGCAUACCCGAUUUGAUUCCGUGCUGGAGAAGCUAUCGUCGUUCAUAGAUAAAUAAAAUAUGCAAGCUAGUUAUGAAUGAAAUUGGUUGAAGAGUCUUCAAAAUCAUACUCAGAUUUAUGGCGUAGUUGUGAAAGGCGGCAUAUAUAAGCUUUCCGAUUCAAUUUGCAAUCAAAUGGAUAUGUGCUUUCAUGUCCUCCAUUGCAUAAAAAAACAUUUUUAUUUAAAUUUUUUAAUAAUGAUAAAAAACACACGACAUUUAGAAAUUUUCGGUUUCAUGCUUAUAUUUUCACCAGUGUAGAGACUUAUAUGUUAAUCAUGUUACUUUUGCACGUAAAAGUGGCGAUGACUGCGCUGACAACAAACACGGCUAUUCAAUCGCUUUCAGGAUAUGAAAAGGACAACAAAUAAAUGUAGGACUCUAGUGCGAAUGGCAGAUAGGAUUUCAUGGGUUCUAAGGCAGUACGGUUUUUCCUCCUCGAUACUAUAGCAUCUUUUUUCAUAUAGCAGUGUCGAGUCGGUCAUCGAUCUCUUGCCAUUGUUUAGAUAUGAGUGUUAAGAGCAUGCUCAGUUCUUCGACAAUAUGUAAUAUGAACUAAACAAUUGUUUUAGAUGCGAUAAGCAGUUAUAUUAGUAAUAGUACAUCAACUGAUAUCACUCCUCUAAAGCGAGGGAUAGCAUGAUCCAGUCCAAACUUAACGCCACUGGACCUGGAUCCUGAUUAGCACUCAGUCUAAGCAGCUGCUGUUUCUAACCGACUUUCAUAUUUUUAAUUAGGAAAUUAGCUUUAUGCAGAUAAAUGUCCAAUUACUCCAAGUUUUAUUCAAGUGCACUACUACUAAAAAGCGCCUCAAAUACUUAUUUUUAUAAAAAACUUUGAGCUUAUGUCAACAAUUCCUCAUGACGAAAAGUUCCCAAUAAUGAGUUUUCUCGUAGCACUAUGAUCUACCCGUACGAAAGGUGUUAAUUGGGACAAACAGAUGUAUCCGCAUUUUUUUGGGAAUUGUAUAUGCAUAUCAAAUUUGAUUUAUGAAUAAGGAAAUUCAUGUUUAAGUAGAAAUGUUUGUUAAUUUCCUUUUCAGCUGACAAAAUAUGAUGUAGCACUGGUGAAUGUGUUCAAGUAUGCUACAGUUUUCAUCUUACUACAUUGGACCGGUUAGUAUACAUGUUCCAUCACAUCCGCACGACAGAUCCGUAACACGAUUUUAUCUCGUGGCUGCCGCGUAGAUAAUUAGUCGAUAAAGUUAAUCCGGAAAAGAGGGAUGGGUAAGGCAUGGGCCAAGCGUCGCCCUCAAUGGUGGACAAAGAGACGGCCUUUCGUGCGAGCUUGGCACGCCCGUGCGUACCUAGGCGUCCCCAGGGCACGCUGCGCGCUGCCCUCUACUAGAAGAUCGAUAACGGACCCACCCAUUUCUUAGGGUGCCCGCGAUAAUGUCGGCUUUUCUCAUUAACGAAUUAAAAAGUCAUAGACAGAGAGAGAGANNNNNNNNNNNNNNNNNNNNNNNNNNNNNNNNNNNNNNNNNNNNNNNNNNNNNNNNNNNNNNNNNNNNNNNNNNNNNNNNNNNNNNNNNNNNNNNNNNNNNNNNNNNNNNNNNNNNNNNNNNNNNNNNNNNNNNNNNNNNNNNNNNNNNNNNNNNNNNNNNNNNNNNNNNNNNNNNNNNNNNNNNNNNNNNNNNNNNNNNNNNNNNNNNNNNNNNNNNNNNNNNNNNNNNNNNNNNNNNNNNNNNNNNNNNNNNNNNNNNNNNNNNNNNNNNNNNNNNNNNNNNNNNNNNNNNNNNNNNNNNNNNNNNNNNNNNNNNNNNNNNNNNNNNNNNNNNNNNNNNNNNNNNNNNNNNNNNNNNNNNNNNNNNNNNNNNNNNNNNNNNNNNNGGAGGGAGAGGGAGAGGGGGGGCAAAAAGCAACAAGACGGGCUAAAUUUUGUUCGACGCAACAUGCAUAUUUCAAACUCUCUGGGAAGCUUUCCUGUUGAACAGCGGGACUUUACAUUGUGCAGCUGGACAGACUAAGUCGGCUGUCGUAAACACGGCGAUCUAUUUGAUGCCUGCGCCGAGGACGCAAAAGACUAUCGGAAUCUGGUGGGGUCAAACUCUAUCCUAUCAUUCAAAGCCUCUAGGAAAGGAAAGUUUAGCACUUACGGAAUGUCAAGUCACCUACCACGCUGUUCGGUGUGUUGGUCAACUUAUGGGGAACGCCCGUGAUUCUACGAUCGUUGUCGACGUUUUUUUUCUAAUAGUCAACAUCUGUUUUUAUUUGAAGUCAUACCUUCCCGCGUUCUCGCCCACCCACCGCGCGCUUCAUCCGCGGCGAUCUAAUUGGUUUUGGCAACCUCUGGUAUUUACCGAAAGAGGCUGACUUUCAGGCAUCAGGCAUGGGAACACCGCUUACCUGCUAACUGCCACCAAUAAAUAGUGUUCAUUCGCUUUCGCACAUCCUUGAUUCCCUGUCCCAUGAACUCUGUGACACAAGCACACAACGUGUGCAGUUUUGAUCUAGUCAGACCAUAUCGUUGAAUAAGUGGAAAGCAAAAUCCAUGGAUUACAGGGUAUACAUCUGAUUCGUAGCCUAUAAAUAUAUCUCCAAGGCCGUGAUACACUGUACCAAAACAGUUGUAAAGCUCCGAGGAAUUCGAGAAGUACCUUGCACAGUAGGAGAUCCAAGAUCAAGAAGAUAACAUGGAUUUGAGGGGAACGAGAAUGCUCUUGGUCCUUGUGCUUGGAUUGUCCAUAAGUUCUCCGCUAGAAGCUCAGCUGAAAAUAGGGUUCUACAAGAGCACUUGCCCUCAAGCCGAGACGAUCGUGAGAGAGGAAGUCAACAAGGCCUUCAAAGGCGAUAAUGGUCUGCCGGCGGAUUUCGUGCGUAUGCAUUUCCAUGAUUGCUUUGUUAGGGUAAGCAUCCUACCAGUCAUCAUCAUUGUUCCUGACUUAGGUAGAAUGAUCCUCGUCCCAGAUGUGGAUUUUCUCAGAGUCGUAAUUUUCGUCUUUUAGGGCUGUGAUGGUUCGAUCCUCAUCGACUCUGCCGGGGGCAACACCGCGGAGAAGGACUCGUCUAUUAACAACCCUAGUCUGGAAGGCUUCGACGUCAUCGACAACGUGAAAACCAGGCUGGAGGCUUCCUGCAAAGGCGUAGUUUCUUGCGCCGACAUCAUUGCAUUCGCUGCCAGAGACAGUGUCAGACUGGUAAGUCUUCCGUUAAGGAAAUCAUCCAUAUCGCAAUACUCUGCCCUUUCUCUCACUGUUUCGACUGAUUUUACCUUCACCCUUUGCAGAGCAAGGGUAUCUUCUAUGAAGUGCCCUCGGGAAGAAGGGAUGGAAAAGUCUCCUUGAGCUCGGAGACGUUCGCGAACUUGCCUCCUCCCUCCUUUGACCUCAAUCAGCUCACUCAGAGUUUCGCUAGAAAGGGCCUGACACAGGAGGACUUGGUCACCCUCUCUGGUGCGUACAUAUGUGAUGCCAUCGAUCGUCUAGGCCGCUUCCAAUGAACUCAUAACCGAAAAAUAUAUCAAAUCCUAACCAGUCGUCACUAAGAGAUGAUAUCCCGUGGUGUUGUAUGUGACCAGGCGCACAUUCCAUUGGAAAAGCUGACUGCUCCGCGUUCAGCAACAGGCUCUACAAUUUUAACUCCACCGUGCAGACGGACCCGAGCCUGGACCCAGUCUAUGCAGCCCAGCUGAAGCAGAAGUGUCCCCAGGGCACCACGGGUUCGAGCGUGCCCAUGGACCCUCCCUCUCCCUAGGUCCUCGAUUCCAGCUACUACAAAGGCCUUCUCGAGAACCGUGGCCUCUUCACCUCUGAUCAGACGCUCAUGUCCAGCCCAGCAACGGCGAAGCAAGUGAGGGCCAACCGGAACAACAAUUUCCUCUUCAACAAGAAUUUCGCGGCGGCAAUGGUGAAGAUGGGUAAAAUUGACGUCCUCACUGGGACCGCAGGCGAGAUCCGUUUGAACUGCAGGGUCGUCAACAAAUGAUUUUUAUGGGUCGUCAACAUUGUCACUAUACCUGUCCUGUGUAUCUAAUAGUCUCCCCCCCUCAUGAGCAAAGUAUAAAGCUCAUGGAGUAAACCUAUUGGCAGGCACUCUGUUCUGUGGGGUUCCAUUGAAGUAUGCCAUCGUUUCCCAGUUAAUUGUCAAAUAAGAAUAUGGUUGUUGUAAAGGUACUCAUUUAUUUGACGAGAAGGACCUUCUUCUCUUUAUUUUCUUUGUUGUUAAUGGUGCAUAUUUACUGAAGAGGUUGAAAUUCAUUCCACGAUCUUCAAUUGGCUCAUGUUAAAAGUCCAGGUGUAACAACGUGCUUACUCAUACAUCUAAUCAGGUCGUUGAAAACUGGUUUUAUAUUUAAAUGACUGAUUUCUGUCAACAAGGAGACCCAGACCACAUUGACGGUGUUUCAGGACAACCUGAAAUUGCAUCUACAAUUCAAGAUACCCUUCAAUUAAAACUUCUGAUAAUUGAGAAAAAUAUCAAUUCUAAUUGUCUAGUUAAACUUAUAGACUAUGUUUCCAAGGAUUACUUUUCAAUAUGCUAUCACUCGGUCGGUCUGGACCAGAAUAGCAAGGUUGAGAUGGCAUGGUGAACAUCCAUCAGACCACAAUGGUGAGGUGGGAGGCCUCAGUAUUGUUAAUCACGCCCCAACUAAUAUUAUUGUCGAGGAUAUGGUAUACCUCGACAUUUUAAAACCUGAAUGAUUUUGAUGAGGAAGACUUUGUGUGCAUCUCACAAUGGAGCUAUUAGGUUACUGGAAUAGGUAGCUCUGGUUGUCUAUUAUCAAUCGAUGCCAAGAAAGAUGGUCGAGAUAUGCUCGUCACAAAGAAGUUUCGCUUCCGUUGAUAUUCAUCAUCAAUAGAGUCUUGUGUACUCCAAAUAUACCCCCUCUUAGCAAAUAAGUAGAGAGGGUUACAAGAGUGAUCCUUAACCAUGUUGACAAAGAUAGAAAACACGGUGGCAACAACAGAGGAAGAAGGAACAAAAGGCAACACAAGCCUGGUAUUGCCAAUAAAUAGUGUUAGAAAAACCAAAUACGUGGCAGGCCUAUUAAUAUUGCAAGGAUCCCAAAUACGAAAAACCCAUGAAUCAAAAAUAUCCUUCCUCAUUAACCAAGAUAAUGCAAAAAUUCAAUAAUAUCUCGGAAUGAUUAAACAGGGCCAUGCGUUCAUAGUUAUCAGAGGAGAAUAAACAAUAAAAAUAAAGUAACAUCAACACGAAGUGUGCCCAACAGAAGAGUAAAUGUAAUGAGAGGACGAUUUGUUUUGUCCUCCAGAUGAAAGCAGAAGACCACAGCUAUAAGCUUUUUAAUCAAUGCGGACUUAAUCAGAACGCUGAUAAGACUUGAUACCAUGGAAUCAUGCGUAAUAUAAAAAUUAACAUUAUGGCAUGGUUAAAUGGUAAAAAGAUAAUGAAAAUUAAAAGCUCAAAGUAAAAGUUAUUACUCACACGGUUUACCCUGACUAAUAUUAGCAUGCACUCAAUAGAUAUCUUACAUCGCGUGAUCAAAUCCGUAAAUGACUUGAAAACGACGAGAUGAUAACAGAAGGGUCCUCAACUAGAACUUGAAGUAUUAGAGUGAGAAAUGAAUUGGUUGUUAAUAAAAACUGCUAAAGAGGUCAUUAUUAGAGAUGUUUUUACCAAUAAUAAAAAUCUAAUAGCAAGCAUAAUGAACGAGAAUUCCCGUGAUGAUUUUGAUAAUACAAGUUAAAACUCGCAGAAAUUUACAUGACUUCCCCUUAAAAGUAAUAUUUAGGAAUUCAAGCGCGCCUUCUAUACGUCAGCAAUACUUCACCAACUUUUUAUACCCUUUGAUAAAUUGCCUCGACUUGCUAGUAAGGACAUAAAUACUGAGUACCUGAGAAUGUACGUGGCUGUUUUCUUCCUUGCGACUGCCAUUCUGCUGGCCCCUGUGGUGUAGUUCUUUAUCAGCAACUGCGCCACCGUCUUGUUGUUAUCUGAGUGGCGAUUCCAAAGGCAAACCCUCAGGAGAGAAUUUCAUUAUGGAUUCAGCUCUUACACAGGGAACAGUUUUAUUAGUAACGCUAGCGGAUUCAAGGAAGAGGGCCCCAGUAUUUAUACACCUGAUGGGGCCCCACAAUAAACAUCCGAUAAGGGACUAGAUAUGUAGGCGCCCCCCACUGCCCAAUUUCUUUUUCUUUCCACACAACACAACACCUCUACAUACAGGCACAUGAGAGUAGGUGAUUUAUGGAGGUCAACGAGAAGAGAACGGACUGAUUCAAUGUUACUAUUCAUUGUCACCUAGUCGAAUUGUGGUCAACGGCUUUGUGAGAAUUUAAAUUGAGAGAUGCGCUUAUUGCGUCGUCUCUUCCCCAUCUGUCGCAUUUGAUGUGAUUUCCAGAAACUUUCUUUUAUUUAGAUUCCACGGAGCAGCUCAACUUCCCCCCCCCCCCCACCAAAUUUUCCCUACCACAUCGUCUAUACAUGAUACCAUCCUUUCACAUCAUUUCAUAUUCAUUUUUCUACGCCACAUGGCGCGGGGGAACUACUUAAUUGUGGGCCAAUGACUGUGACUGGGAGCCUAAGAACGAUCGGGCUGGGGGAGUGGCGGUGAUGAUGGCCCUUCUGUUAUCUUCAUGCAUCGCAAUGACUGUGACCGCGUGGUUUCGUCAGUAUCUCUCCCUUACCUCUUCCCUGUACAAGUUUCGUUUAUGAGGGGAGACCGAAUUUCGGCGUGCUGGAGUAAGGAUACCGUUCUUGUUUCUAAUCACUGAGCCCCUUUUCCGUAAACUCUAUGCCUUGGAAAAGGGUCAGGAUACGUGGUUAACUGCAUCUAUGGUCAAACCCUGCUGCAAAUGCACUGGAUAUGAAGUUCUCUUUUGAGCUGCUUUCCAAGUCGGUGCAACUAAUAAAAAAGGUUCUGCUACGUAAAGAAAUGAAAUGAACACUUAGAGUACUUCUGUUGAACAAGACAAAGCGAGACAUUAGGAGUCUCGCCACUGUAUGAUUACGACAACCUGAGAUAUACUCAUAUCACAAUGUUGGAGAACAUUAUAUUUGGUAAAGCUUAGGUAGAAGACCAGCAUAAAUGAUGAAAGCAGAUUUGAUUCGUAGUUGAAGGCAAAUGAUUAAGAAUACAGAAGAAUUACUGAUUGGUCCACGCAAACUCAAUUAAAGCAACUCUUGAAAAAUCAUAAUCUCAAGAAAUCAUAAUAGCAUGGACCAUAGAAUGAAGUUUCAUCUUGUUUUCUUAAAUUGGCAUCUUCCCCCGUUUGGAAUAGAAGUCAAUAAGCGCCUCGAAUCAAUAGUGAGAAUAAGUCCAGAUUUUAUACUCAUAUCAAGAAAGAAGAGUGGUUCACUCGUCAACUGGAGAGCUCAUUUGAUGUAGAACCAGCAGAAGCACUAGGUAAAGAAAAUGGAACCCUUCACGAAGACAGGAGAGAGGAUGAAAUGUCAACGGAUAGACGGGCAUGGUCAUGGGAGUCACACUUAUUACAUCCACGACUUCAUUCAACCUGUCACAAUGCAGCUACAAGGAAUGUAUCUACCCAUGAGAAAACAGGUUCACCUUGGACGUGCAUGGACCGACACUAAAUUCAUUAGUACACACGAUAUGAAGCUUCCAUCAGUCCUCUUGGUCAAAUAUCGAAUCAUUUCCAAGAUCUUGAUCGCUCAUCUGACUUAUUUUACUGCCACAAACAUUAUGAAGCUACGCGCAGUCGAUACGGUGAGUUUACUCACUUCCGUGGGAAAAGAAGUCAUGCAUUUUAGAGUGCGAUUCCUCUUUCAUAUCAUACUGUUGAAAUCAUUGCUUCAGCAGAGGAAGAGCAGCAUUCCAUUAUUAGAAUAUCCUCAGUCCCAUCAGUCCUCUUGGUCAAAUAUCGAAACAUUUCCAAGAUCUUGAUCGCUCAUCUGAUUUAUAUACUGCCACAAACAUCAAUACAGUGAGUUUACUCACUUCCGUGAGAAAAGAAGUCCUGCAUUUCAGAGUGCGAUUCCCUCUUUCAUAUCAUACUAUUGAAAUCAUUGUUUCAACAGAGAAAGAGUAGCAUCCAUGAUUAGAAUAUCCUUAGUCAAUUCUCACUGAUUCAAGGCUGCACUUGGACUACUCAACGAGCUCAUGAAAGAUACAUGAGACAAAAGUUGGAAUAUUGAUAACUUGUGAAAAUUAUAUGUUAAUGUGUUAUUAAAUCAAGGAGAAUAAUAUAUAUUUUGAGAAUUAUUUUAUAAGUUAUCAUAUUAAUUAUUUUACUUGUCAUUUUGAUGAACCUCCUUAAAUCUUGAUUUAAAUUGAUAUUUUAUGAAUAACAAAAAAUUGAUGAAAAUUUAUUUCAUAUGUUGAAGCUUAAUUCUCAUUUAUUUUAUUUUGAAAUAAAAUCCUAUUGCUUAAAUUUUUCUGAUUAAUUGAAAUAUAUUUUUUAUAAUAUUUUCAAAAUUUUUAGUCAUUAAAAUAAAUAUAAUAAAUAAAAAUUAAAAUAAAAAUGGGCACACCGUUACAAGCUGGAGGCACACUACUUAACAGGCCUGAUGGGGGUCGGAGGCCACACCAUAUCGAGGAACAGGCUCAAAGGAUGCACCGCCUUGCAGCCCAUGUGAAUUAGGUUGUGGAUCUAGAUUUUAGGUUCAGGUCAAAUGAAUCACCUCCAGAGCUUACUAGGAGCUAGGUCUCAAUUCGGAUCAUCCUUAGGAGCUAGUAGUCAAGUCUAAUCAUCCCUUUCAUAGGUGCUUGUCAUGAGUCAAAGUGGUAGUUUAUUAUAUAUCGUUAAUAGCCUACUACCUUUUCCGAUAUUGCACUAAACUUCUUACAUUUUUCAAAUAUGACGGUAGAGCAGUAGUAGCCGCAAGAUCUAAUGAUCUAGACGCUGCCACAUCAUCACCCACCAUCAUACAAAAAGUAGUGCUAGAUCUAACAAUGGUCCACAUCACCACCCAUCAUUAUAUAAAAAGUAAUGCUAGAUCUAACAACAACCGCCAUCAAAUCCAAUGCAUCAAAAUUGGCCACAUCUCCAGCUACCAACAUGUGGUCCGACACCCACACGGAUCCUGAUAAAACAUAUAAAAAAAGAGUGAAAGCUCAAAUAGAUUUGAUGGUGAUUAAGAGGCCAUGUCAUCCCCUUCAAAGCAAAAUGAUAGCGCGAGAAUCCAAUAGUCUUCAUCAAGCCACGCAAUAGAGAAUAUAUUCACAAAUAUUAGUUAUCAUUUGAUAAAAUAGAUAAUAUCGAUUAUUUGCUCACACGGCCUAAGGGUACAUUUAUAAAUAUUGAUUAUUGUCUGGUAAUACAGAUAAUAUCAAUCAUUAUUGCACAAAAAAAAGAUAAAAUUUCAAAAAAAUUAGAGAAAAAUUGGAAAAAUAAGGUAGAAAAUAGAAAGUUAAAAAUAAAAAUAUGAUUUGUGGAUCUAGGGAACAAAAAGGAGGAAGAGGAGAGAGAAAGGGAUUUUUUUCGAGUUGUUUUUGAAUUGUUGUUGAGAGAAAAUAAUUGUUCUUCUUUUUUAUGCAAAAAUAGAGUUCCAAGGAAUCUACCAUUGAUUUUUGAUCAUUCCCUUCUACUCUUCUCACCUUAAAUCUAUUUUGUUGAACUGGAUGCAAGAUUGGGAAGCACUACUUAUGUAGCACACUUCAAGAGCUCAUCAACCAAAGAAAGUGAUUUUGAGGAAACAAUAGACAUAGAGGGUGAGAAUAGCACCCUCAAUGAAUCACAUCACAACAACCCUUCAAAUAAGGAAGGAUCUAAUCAAAUUGAGGGAGGAAAUAUCAUGGAAGGUGUAGACGUUACCCUUGAUCAAGCUGCUAUUCGGCCAUGCUGCCAAAAGAAACGCCCCACAAUAGAAGGUUUUCUUUAUUAUUAACUUUUUAUUAUUUUGUGCAGAGAGGCCUAUAAAUCAGCCCUCAAACCUUUCUCUUGAUAGUGAAUGAGAUGAAGAGUCUCUUCCUUACUAGAUCAUGAGAUCCCGUCACCCCAGCUUGGGUUGGUCGGAGGACCCUACCACUCUUAGUCUAGAGUACCCCUUCCCCUCCCUUCUUUUUCUUCUAUUGCCACCAACCCCUACUCCCUGCACCAUUGAUACUGCCAUCACCUGCCACUGUCACCAUCAUCACCUCCCUUUCCACUGCCACUGCCUAUCCAUCAUCCUCUUCACCACCGGCAGUCCUUCCAGCAACCAUCACUACUCGCUUUCAUCCCUUCUUCUUGACCCUUCACCGCCGAGCUUGCUAUACUGCUGCCUACCUCUACUGUUCACCAUCGACCUCUGCCCUUGCCUCCCACCAUCACUGCCUCCUCUCGUUUCCCUCUCUCCCCACCAUUGGAUAUCGCCAUGUUUAAAGCUAGGGUUAUUUCAUUCGUGGGCUUGAGUUCCCUAGCCCACUUCAGCAGGCCCACCGCCACUAUUCCUAUUGAGCUGGCCGCAGCCCAAGUCUAUUGGCAUGAGUCAUCUGGCCAUCCUGACCAAAACUGUUCCACCCCUCCAGCUGCAAACUGCCACAACCGACAGCCUAGUCUACUCGGUCAACAAUUGCAGGGCAGUCAAUGGUCAACUUCAGGAAUCCAUGAAUCCUACCAAGGCUCAAGUAUAAUUUCUAAACUUCUUUAUUAGUUACCUAGUCAAUUGUUCUUUUAAUAUAUUCUCUUGCCACGGUCACUUGAGGGAAGCAUAGGAUAGCUACCUUUUUUAUUCAGCUGAUCAUUCCCUAUGAUAAACCUUUUUCUGAUCUGUUAAAUCUUGGUACCCUAGUCAAUAGAUUUCUUAAACUGCUCAAUCCUUCAUUUUAUUAUUGCAGGAGAUUUCUAACUAUAAAGAUGUUUCUUUUUUGACAAAACUCUCACAAAUAUUUAUGAUUCUACCCUUUUAUUUUUACCUCACUUCAGCUACCUAGAGGUCGACAUCAAGCCAUGCAUUCUAAUAGUUGUAAGUUUGAUUCUUAAUAAAGUUUUUAUUAUUUUAUUAUUUGAUUUAUGAAGAAAUUUAUUUUCUUAGCUUUAAUCAAUUCUUUACUUGUUUCUUUUUCAUUUUCAUCAUUCUAAAGCAUAUUUUAUUUUAGUAGAAGUUUUAAAUUCGCAUCUAAAUUUAUUUAUUAUUUUAUUUCCUUUAUUACUUUGAAUAUCAAAUUCAUAAUCUCUUAAAUAAGAGAAUAAGAAGAUUUCUAAAAGCUUUUCUUGAGGAGAAGACCUAGCUUACUAUUAUAUUCAUUUAAUAUUAUUUUUGGUGAAUCUAGUUCUAUUAAUUAUUAAAAUUGAAUGAUGAUUCUAAUAACGACUUAGGGUCAUAUCAAAUAUUUCAUUGAGAAAUAAUAUAUUCUCACUAUGCUGAAGUUCACAAGAAAGCUUAAUGCUUCCAUGCAUGGGUGAUGCUAUUUAGCAUUUGAUGGCCAUUUGGCUUAUUACAUUUCAUUGAGGACUUGAUAGUAAUCUUAAAAUCUAGAACAAUCCAAGAGAGGUGCAAACACAAUUUCAGAUGGGAAUCUAAACAUUGUUCAAUUUCAUAUCAAAUAUCAAUCUUAUCUCUUCUUUUUUCCUGGUGAGCACUUCGAUAUUGCCCAUCUUCACCAUAGCCUCAGCAAAUCUCUUCUUGAAGAAGUGCUUGUUGGCUGCGUUCUGCUUCACCAGAUUAGCAGUCUUGGAACUUGACAGGAGCGCCUAGUCUGAAUGGAAGAGGCCCUUGUGAACAAGAAUAUUUUUGUAGUAGCUAGAGUCGAAGACCUCAGGACUGGGAGGGUCCAUCGGGACGGUCAGGUUCGGGUCGGUGCUCCCUUUGGGACACUUCUUCUUCAAUUUCUUCGCGUAAGCCGGAUCCAAGCUCGGAUCGGUGGUGGCUGUCGAACUGAAGUUGUGCAGCCGACUGUUGAUGCUGGUGCAGUGAGACUUGCCAAUGGUGUGCGCCCCUGAAAUUACAAGAAUAGUUCCGCAUGAGAAAAUAAAAUCGUAGGAAUCACAAUAUAUGGGUUCAAUUGUGUUCAAGUUCCACUGACAGAUCUCUUUAAACGUUUAUAUUCUUCAGCCCAGAUAUGGUGACCAAGUUGUCAUGAUUUAGACCCUUUCUGGCAAAGUUCUGUGUGAGCUGUGAUAAAUUGAACAUCGGAGGUGGUAAGUAUUGAAUGUCUCCAAGCUAUGGGAGAUCGUCCCGUCCUUCCUUCCUGAGGGGACUUCGUACCAAAAUCCUCUGCUCUGCUGUCACGGAACAAAGUCAACCGAGCAGUCAUGCGCAUCCACAGGGACACCAAGUCUUAUGUUCAUAAGUGACAGGAUCUAGUGAAGAACAUUAGUGUAUUGAUUCUACCAGCUGAAAACUAUCUCUGGAAGCAAAAGUGAGGAUGUCGGUGCAGAAAGGAACACCCUUGCACUACUUCCCCAGCUUGGCCUUAUCCUCGUUGAUGAUCUGGAACCCUUCUAGGCUAGGGUUAUUGAUGGAUGAGUCCCUCUCGGCAGUGUUGUUUAAGGUGGAGUUGAUAAGAAUUCAUCCGUUGCAACCUGAAAACAUCAGAAGGAAUGAAGGUAAACUAGCAUUGACGAGUUAUGGUAAUCGAGCGUAAUCCUCUUCUCGAUGAGAGACAAAAAUAUCGGCAUUACUGGCUACGCAACACACCCUCACAAAACAGUUGUGGAAAUCCAUCCUGAUGAAAUCGGCGAGCAGACCCUUGUCCUUCGUCGCCUUCGUUACAACCUUCUUCACAAUGAACUCUGCAUGGGGAUGUCUUUUCAUAAUACCCGACUCAAAUUGUAGGUUCUGCCGUAGCACUGAGACACAUGCCAAGCAAUAGGGCCAGAACCCUAUCUCUCGACUUAUUCUUGACCCCAUGAUCGGUCGAUCUCUGAUAGCUUUGCAUGCAUUCUGGUACGUCACUUAUAACCAGGGCAUCGGUAGCCCUCUGGUAUUUUAAUCGAAAUUAUUGAUUAUCCAUUUAAGUAAAUUAUGGUAUGGUAGAGCUAGUUUGUGGAGGUUGGGAACUACCACAUCGUGAGGAAGUAUUAGGAUGAGGUUGAAUGAGAGUGGUUUCCUUGGAUAUAGACUUUGACAGCUCGUCUUGAUGGCGAGGGCACCUAGUGUUGACCAGCGACAAGUUGGCACAAAUAGAAGAGAUUAAUUGUAACAGACUAUGAUGAUGACAGUAAGCGCAACACAGUAGUUCUGUGAUAAUCAAUUGGAUAUCAAGAUGAGUUCAUGUUAUAACAUCGCUAAGAUUCUUAGGAUCAGAUAACUCAACUUAUUCCUGAUGGAGAUCAAGAUUCGCUAUCUCACAAUUCUCCAAACUUGAUGUAAGGAGUGGAUCAAGAGGCAACAUCAAAGCCUUCACCAAGACACUUCCCAAGGAUGAGAGACCUCCUUUCACACCAAGUCAACAUGAUGAUCUUAAGGAAGAAAAUUCAAACCUUGAAGAUCACUGAGGUCAAAGAUAAGGAAGGAGACUAUGAGGAGGUGGCUAGGGCACCCUAACCUUGUCCCCACAUCUACUAUUGACCAAGUCAACACCCAUUAGAGGUUUGAUCAAACCCUUUUACCUUCCUUAAACCCUUCCAACCCUUUCUUAUCAAAGCUCAUCCUUAUCUUGAAUCAAUAUUUGACCCUAAGAAGCCUAUUGACUUUUCUUUUAAAAUCUUCCAUCUUUUCUCAUAGGCCUAACUCCUCAUAGGCCUAAAUGGCAUCUAGAUCUCGUAGUUAAAGGCACCCUUUAAAAUAGGAGAAAGUGGUUGUAACUGCCCACUUCUUGUGGGUAAUCUUCUGUCUCCUCCUCUCAUAUGAAGGGAUGUCUCCCUUGAAUUAAGGUGGUUAAUCCACCCCAUUCUCUCCUAUAAAUAAGGAGGCAUUUUAUGUAAUAAGAGAAGGAUUGAAUGAAUGAAAAUCUUACACUUUCUUCUCACUUGAAUCUUAUCUCUCUCUUGAGUCCCUUCUCCCCUCUCCUGAGUCCUUCACUCGGCAUCUUUCUUUCUCUCUUGAAGGUCUCUUAUCUCUCGAGCUUCUCUCCCUUCUCCCUUGAAUUUCUCUCAUUUUCCCCCUCAAGUUUCUUCCUUNNNNNNNNNNNNNNNNNNNNACUUCUAAGCCACCUCAUCUCUUUAUCCACAAACGCUUUUUCUUCAACUUGUGAGCAAUCAUUUAUAAAGGAGAUCAAAGCCAUUCUCAAAUAGUCUAAAGGACCCUCAAGUAAUCAAGAAUUCUCCAUAAGGUAUUUGAUUUUUCAUUCCUCUUGAGUGCUUAAUUUGAUCAUCACUUGAAGUCUAUUGCUCUAGAUUUUUACGUGAAACCUAUAGAAUAGCCACCUUUACCUAUUUAGUGAUCCAAAGCCCUCGUUCCUAAGUUUGAUUUGUCUUAUUGAAUUAGAGUUCUCAAUCAAGAUAACCAUAAAUCUAGAUCCUAUCUAAAUCAAAUUGUGAGUUGAGUGAUUUGACUAUUUAAGUAAAUUUAUUAAAAGUCAACCUUUAAUCCCUCUUCUUUAAGACUUUUUGUGAAAAUUAUAAAUCUCUCUAUUUGUUCUGCAUCAAUUCCUCAAGUCGGAUGAGCGUUAAAUUUCGUGAAACAUGAACUCUACUAAUCUUUGGUGCCCCUUUUAUUAGUCUACUGGAUUGAUGAGUAUGCUUCUCUUUUGUGCAUGAAAAAUUGAAUUCAUGGGAGCUGGUCAGCGCUAUUUAUAUGAUGUGCUCUUCCGACAAAAGAUGCAUGUCCAUCACACUUCAAUGUGAUGGCAGCUUUAUGAUAGUCGAGAAGAUGAUGGCACGAGAAUCAUGUAUUUUCUUCUGAUUUCUCUGGCAUUGUUUCUGCUUUCCCUAUCUUCAAUGGUUUUAAUUUGAAUCUGGUUCUGGCUCCUCUUAGGAAUAUUCAUUUAUACAUUUGUACUGAAAGAAAACUCCGGUUGGAGGGAAGUGCAACCCGGAUAAAGAGCAGAUGAGAGUACCAAGGUAACGCUCUCAUCCCGAACGGUACUGAUGGUCUCUUAUGACGGGACUAGAAGAAAGCAGUUGGUGAGGAACUAUUAUCGGCCCGACGGAGCCAGUCGCUGUUCCUGUCUAAUAAUAGAGAAAUCAGAACCCGACGGGGAAAUUUCGCAAAAUUCUCAGCAUCAAGAGAUCCAUCUCGAUUGACUACUCAACCGCUUCGUUAUCUUGGGACGACAUCUUUAAUCAGGUUUUUUUUAGCUUUUGAUAUGUCUGAUGAUUAUCUGGCAAGUGGACAUAAUAGCUGAAACUUUGAAAGCUCCAUUCCAUCUUCCAUCGUUAGUAAUAUUCUUUUCUUCCAGAACCAUUUAAGAUGGGUUUGGUGGUCCAAUCGCCACCAUCCAAAUUGGCAUAGUUCUCGACUGUCAUAAUCUGAUCGUAACUUGAUUUACGCGGAAUCACGUUACUUCGGCGACGAAUAAAAGAAUAUUGUUCUGACUAGGUUCAACCAAUCCAAGAUGUGAUACUUCAGGCUUUGGUGGGCGAGUAUAAAUGCCAACAUCUCUCGCUAAGCUGUAGAGAAAAAUAUGGCAAGUGUGGGAAUAAUUUAAUAAAAGUAAUAGCACAGAAUAUAAUGGCAAUAUUGCCGUUGGCCUUUUCUGCCGAAUUAUGUUAACGGUUUACGCGUUUAUUUUAACGGAGUUAGUAAAAGCAGCUUGAACUCGGACUGACCUUGAUGUGAGGUUAAUUCGGCGCGCUUACAUUCGGUCUGGGCACGCAAAGACUAGCUCAAUGGAGAAAACAGAUAAAUGUUCGUGUAACAAUUUACAACUACUUUUAGAGGGUGCCCUGGUCGAUACCUAUUUCAAACGGAUUGUGACUGAGGUCAGGAUAAUAUGUAGAGAAUACUAAUCCUCCUGCAAAGUCAUUCCAUGAUUAAAUCCCGUAACUCUCACAUUUUCUGGAAGAUUUUGCGAAUAACAAAGAACACGGAGUUCUCUUAACUGACAGAGUUUACUAUACAGGAUCAAUCGUCCUCAAUAAGCCCAAUAGUCUGAAUACAAUCUUGCGGUUCAAGACAUCGAAACCUGCCUCGAUCUUCACAAAACUGGAAUGUAAAAGGUUGUUUCAGGACCAACGUUCUAUUUCAAAACUAACAAGUGAGAAAACAAAUUAUUAUGACACCGUUACUCACCUAUAGAAGGAAAGUGGGGACUUGUGCAUAGCAUGUGGUAGAACAAGUCUCUGUUCAGGGUGACAGAGGGCUAUAAAUAUAGCCCUCACAGGAACAGAAAAGGCACCGAAGAAGUCCUCUCGAUCAUAUUUCCCACCCCCGUUUUUCCCUUUUCUUUUUCUUGUAACGAACCGUCAUCUCGAGGUUCUAUCCUGCCAACAUUUACUUCAUUGAGAAUCUAUACUACUAGUUCCCUCUCAUCUACUCAGAUCCGAUCCUCCUAACGAGGAUCCCAUCACAAGCACAGACUAAUCAUUGCCAUCUAGAUCAGUCAGUCGAGAUCUUAGUUCUUGGGGUCAAGAGCUUGACCCUGAAGCAUCAUUCAAAAUGGCUUAAUAGGUAGUUCAGUUUAUGGAUUCCUUAAUACUAAGUUGAUAAAAAACGGAAACGCCUAAUUUUUUUUAUUAAUAUGAUCAUAAUGACCAUUGAAACCCCUAGCAUCUUCAAUUCAUAUACUAAUUUAAUUAGCAGGUGAAGCAUGGAUAAUUGGAGCUAUUUUAAAUUUCAUUGUAUUUACUGUUUUACUAUCUACGAAUGCAUGCUGACCCUUCUUAUUUAUCUUGCUACUAUAAUUGAGAAAAAAGUUCCUCUUCAAUGCAAGCAAAAGAAGGCCAUCUUAGCUGUUUGUAGAGUUCUCUUUGUUUGCUUUGUCUAUUUUCAAUUUUAAUCAUAAAUUGCCCUGAUUACUGAUAACGGUUUUCUCAGCAACAUUUGUGACACAGGCGUGAAAUGCUCUACUUUGUCCGCUUUCUUUUUCUUUUGAAUGGGCACAAGUCUCUAAGGUUGAGCUAUAAAUCUGUUUGUUACAUGGCAAGGAAUUUUGUGAACGCAACUGUACUGAUGUAGUGCUCAACUAUUGGCCACAUUAUGCCUAUAUAUAGAGACUGAUUUUCCCUCAAAACCCAUCAGUAGGUUUUCAGAAAAUCUCUAAAAUUGAUUUCUUCUUUUUAUAUUAGAAAAAUUGAUCCAUUAAUAAAUUUCGCUGAAUAUAGGGUGAGAUAUUAAACUAUCAAAGAAUAAGUUAAAUUCCUAAUCUUCUCUAUUAUAGUACAUCAUUUCUUUUAGCUAAUUUGUUUAAAUUUUGGUCCUCCAUGUUUCCACCGAAUGUAAGAUGUAAUUUCAUUCCUAUAAGAUGUAAGAUUCACGAUAGGUGACCACGGUCAAAACACUGAAUAUUCUUUGAAAUUUGAGUUCAUGUGAUAUUGUUACAAAAUAUCCAAUGGUCAAGUGGUUUGGACUUGUUCCUAAUAUAAUAUGUUUCUUGAUGAGUUAUUUUGCUCAAUUUCUCUCUCCCCCUAUGGCAUAUUACAUGACUCUAUUUACAUUUCAUUCAGUUAGCAUAAAUAAAAUUAUACUUUAACGUGAAUAGUGAUAUUGUGAAUAAAAACUUAUAUAUGUAACUAUAAAAAGGUUUAUUUAAUAUCUUAAAGUGGACUUGGAUGACUAUUGAAAUUGUUAUAAGAGGUAAAAUAUUAAAUGAAUAUCCAAUUACUAAUGACGACUUGAAACUGCAAAAAUAAAUGAUUCAGAUAUGCAUGUGAAUUUACUAUAUACUUUAUUUGCAAUAUGUCACUAGAAGACGAGAUACAUACCGAAGUCAUGUCAGAAUUUAUUCCUUUUGUGAUAUUUCAACAGGUUUAUUCAUGAAAGUUGAAGCAAAAUGUUUUGCAUCUCUAUUGUGGCGUAAAAAAUUAUGGAAUGUGCACCAUGAUUGAUUUCGACAAUUCAUUCAGUUGGCUUACAUCUCAAGGAAGUAUCCUUUUUUCAUUUACAGAUAUGAUUUUGAUUUAUAUUACACUUAUGAUCUCCUUGAUAUUGAGAAGCUUAAAUGUACUAUUCUAGAGCUAUUCUAGGUUUGGAUAAGAUCUGCUAAUAAAUCUAAAAGAUCUAUAAACAUAAAUAUAUCUACAAUAUUAUGGACACUCUGGUUGUUACGUUUAUAUCAUUAUAGUCUUGAAUUUAAUGUCUUUUUGGUAAAGAUGGCAUUACAUAUAUUUAAAAAUAUUUUUGGCCAACAGUCUUCCACAUUACAUAGGCUAACUUCUACACAACCAAUCCCAAGUAUCUUUUUACGUAUGCCAUAAUAGAAAAACUAGAUUAAAGGUUAAUGCUAAAUUGAACAACAACCUUAUUCUCCAAUAAAAAAUUUUUAAAUGUCUAGUAACUUGGUUAUCUUGAAGAGUAAUGUUGAUUACUAUGCUUAAUAUAUAGCCCAAACAUAAUUUAUAAUAUCCUUUUAACAUAUAUUAUUAAUACAAAUAUCUAUUUUAAACCAUUUACAUCAUAAAAGAAUCGUGAUCCUUAUGAUAUCUUGAAGUAAGUUAUAUCCCAAAAGUAGGAAUAUGGCUCUUUUACUUAGUAUUUAUUUUUUUCCAGCUUUUCUUUCUUAAAAUAACAAUACAUUUAGUCCCUCUUAAUCCAAAUGGGUGUAGUUAGUUGAUGGUCUUGUGGUAGAUGAGAUGAAAGAUCUAAGAGGCUACAUGAAAUAUUAAGAGGGAGAAAGAAUUGGUAUUUCCAUAAUUUUGAAUUUUCUUUCUAAAUCACAAAGGUAUCGACACACUUACUAACACUAUUCUUCAUGAUUAUCUAUGUGUGAGCUUUUUUUCUCUUUCCUCCUAUAAGUUAUCUUGUGAUUUUCUCUCUUUCACAAAUAAGACUCAAUUUUUUUAUAUUGGUUCAUCCUUCACUUGGCCACUUUUAAUUCUACAGGAUCUUGUUUAUUAUAUUUCACUAUUUCUCAUAGAAAUACACAUUGAAUUCCCCAAGAUCAGCAGCUCAAUAACUCAAGUUUGAUCUUUAUAGAGAUAUAACCCCUUCUGGGGUAACUUGGGCUUAGAACACCUCAUGCCUUUACCCAAAAACCUUUUCCCCUCAUAACCCAAUUAUCUUAAAGCCUAAUAGAGAGCCUAUUAAAAGAUUUGAGCAUUUUGUUGAUCACUAACAGCCAAUGAAGAUGGAUAUAAUAUGUACAUGUUUGAAGCUCCAUAGUAAAAUUACUUGAUCGUGAGGAUGAUUCCUCUUGAUAGAUCAAGAUGGAAUGCUCAUUUUUCAUUUUUCUAGCUUAUCUUUCAUGUAAGGCUUUACCCUCUAAUGAUUUUUCAUUUUUUGCUCAAAACAUAAAUUUAGAAGAUUGAUUCAAAUAUUUACAAUUUUUCAGAAUAUGUGGUAACGACCUCUGACUAUUGUGAAUUUGAUAACUUAUUAUUCCUUAUUUCAUCUGAUUUGAAAUUUAAAUUGGAUGUUUAUCCCUCAUAGAUGAAUAACUUUUAUUUUGACAUUGUCUCCAAAUUCGAACAAUGAGUCAACUAUUUUCUCUACAUAAGUAGUCUUUGUGUCAUAAUCUAGAUUUUUGGUUCAAGACUGAUAAAAACUCAUUUAAUAUUUUGAAUCAUUUUUAUUCUCUUUUCAUAAUGUACGUGACUAAUGCAUAAAUGGCUAAAUUUAAAGGUUAAAUGAUUAUAGAUAAAUAUAUCAAAAUAAAAACCAUCAUUUACCUAUUUAAAUAUUUGUUUGCUAAAAAAUAUUUAUUCUCAUAAAUUUGAUACUUCACAUAUUUCAUCAAAUCAAUUAAUCUAAACAUUCAAUCCUUUAGAUGAAUAAGUUACAUAUAAUCACAUGAGAUAAAUAAUAGAAUUGAUACAUAAAAAGUAUCCAAACAUUUAUAAUAAUCUUGUAGAUAAAAUCAAUCUUAAUAAUAUAUUUUCUCAUUAAUUGUAAUAUCAAAACUAAUACCUAAUGGCAUCAAUAGGAAAUAAGGUUUGGGGUAGAAAGAUAAGGUGGUUUUCUCAUUAUCAUAUGCAAAAUAAAGUAAAAUUUUUGCUUAAUGCAACUACAACACAUAAAAGUUUUUUUUGUACCUAAAGAAUAAAAGACAUCAUCAUAAUAAGCAAUGCUUUUGGAAACCUAAGAAACUGAAAUCUACUUCUUAGUUCUUAAAUAGGAAAAAUGGAAGAAAGAAUGGCUCUAAGAUGGACCCUUCUAGUUAUUUAAUGUGCCCACCUUUAAAUGCGGCAUGAGGAGACACAGUACAAGGGAGAGAUGGUCACACCAAAGACCAUUUCUUGCGGACCCAAUGGCCACCUAUUGGGUGAAUGGGCAACAAAGUGGAACCAUUCAGCCCGAAAGAAACAUCUCCUAAGGUUUUCACUAGGCACAUAACCAUGGUGGCUCCAAGGUUCUUAUAAAUAGCAGGUCCUUUCUCCUUGUUGGAUAAAUCCAUUGUACCCUUGUUACAUUAGCUAGAGAGAGAGGGUGUGUGUGUGUGUGUGUUUGGGAGACAACUUCUAAGGGAGAUCUCCUUUGGGUUGAUGAGUGCAUCAAAGGGCUAAGAUUAGGGAUUCAUUCCUUGAGAUCUUGGAAGGGCCAAGAUUAACAAUUAUUAUCUAAGUUCUUGAGUGUUUUCUUAUAUUAAUUUCAUAUCUAGUGGAGCUUUCAUCAUCACUCGUGAAUGUAGAAGGUCAACCUCUAAACCACCUAAAAGCCUUGCGUCAGUGUUCUUUUGGUGAGUUGCUCUCUUUCUUCCACCUUACUUCAUGUUAUAUAAAAUGUGAGCAUUGCUUUUUUCUGAGGUCACAUAAAAGAUAUUGCUCUAACAAAUAAGACUACCAUGCUAUUGAUAGGCUCUGACUACAAGACCAAGAAAAUCUAGAGUAAAUUCAAAACAUUAGGCAAACCGUGAAGUACAUGCAUAAAUUGGAUAGUCAAAGUUGAGCGAUCUGUGUUUAGGUACUUGUAUACAGAACUACUGAAAUUGAUACCUGACUACUAGGAACAUCUCUACCAAUAACUUUCUGUGCAAAAUAUGAAGGUAGAGUAAACUCGCAGAACAGCGGUUGACGUGGGAUUGCCAUCAGUAAUUCUAUCAAGAUGACGAACAAUGGAGCCUGAUUUUUCUGACGGCUCUAAAGUAGUAGAAAACUAAACGAAGCGGAAUUCCCUAAAAGGGAUGAAGGUGCUAGUGGCUGCCGUUUCAGAAAAAAAGGGUGUGCAUUAAGUUUUCUUAAUAGUUUAUCCGUGGACAAGAAAGUAUGUGCCAAGGCAACAUUCGUCAGUACAUCAUAGAAACUGAUACAACUCCUGGCAGUGUGUACUUCAUAUACGAGUUGCCAAUUCACUGGGGUAAUUCAACACCUUCAGAACUAAUGCGAGGUUAAUACUUCUUCUAUUGUUUGUGAUUUGACUUGAGCUUAUGGCCAUCAUUGGUUUAAUAUUUUAGGUUUAGAUUACUUUUCUUCAUUAUAUUGAAAAAUAUAAAAAUUUUUAUUUCGAUGCUACAAGUAAAUAUAGGAUUCACGAGAUCUGACAUGUAUAAUUUUAUCUUGAACGUAUAAGAAUGAGGCAUGAAGUUAAAACCUAUAAUAAAACCAGGCGACUCUCAGACAAGGCUUACAUUAACUCUCCCUCUUUCCCACUCUCCUACCUCUCCCUUUCCCUCUCUCUUCUACUCGUCCUCCCUCUCUCUUUCGCUCUCUUACAAGUAAACCGAAAGCAAAAAUAUUUUUUUCAAAAUUGAUAAUAUCCUAAGGAAUAAUUAUCCUUCUAUUUUUUAUUCUCAUAAUUAGGUUAUUGAAGCAUUAUUGCUACCUUCCUCAGAGCCACUUCCGGGUCGAUAUAUGUCUUUCAAAUUCAGUUCAGAAUCAGCAGAUACUGUCAAACGGAGGGGCGAUGACGUACACAAAAAGGAACAGAUUGAUAAAAUGGAAGAGGUAAGAUAAUGUGAACCCGGAUUAUAAGAAAGGAAUUUCAAUCAUCCACGCGGUUCGGGAUGGAUCCGGUUAAAGCCAAGGAGAAAGGCAAGAUCUACGGGCAGCGGCGACAACUAGGCAGCCACCCGCUCGGAUAUGAACCGCCCAAAUUUGUUGGCGAACCUAUGGAACCCAUGCGCUCCUCGUCGGCAUGAGACCGGUAGAUAUAUCGGGAGAGUGCACGCGCUAGGGUCGCCUGGAGUUUACGAUAAAAGUCGAUAUGAAUUUCCUCCAUGGGGAAGACCAGAGAUAUUUCGUGCGGGGUAGGCUCUUUGGCCUCGGUACCCUACGAGAUAAUAAGAACCGUAAGCAAAAAGAUAGAGCCACACACUUGUACCACUUGAUGAAUCGGUGUUUAACGUGCCGACUUCUGCGGAUCUUUGACAUUUAUUCGGUCCGUUCCCUGUUUGAAACUCUCGACAAACUUUGAAUCUUCUACCACACGCCAGUCGGGUUUCAAAGAAUGAUUUCCCAAUGCGGUGACCUCGAUUGGUAAGCCAAUGCAUGCCGACGUUGCACCGCCUUUCUGGGGAGGCCCCAUCUCCAUGGACAACGGCUACCAUUUGAAUUAAAAUAGACUAGGAAUACGUCACACCCCAAGCCUCCCUUCACCUGCGUUCUUCCCUCUGAAACGACAGUAGCGUACAGCUAAUGGUGUUAGAGUGUUCGAAGUGGUGGUAAAUAACGAGCGAAACCGUGGGAAUCAGAGGAAUAUCCUUGAGCUCGGAGACGUUCGCGAACUUGCCUCCACCCUCCUUUAACCUAGAUCAGCUCACUCAGAGUUUCGCUAGAAAGGGCCUGACACAGGAGGACUUGGUCACCCUCUCUGGUGCGUACAUAUGUGAUGCCAUCGAUCGUCUAGGCCGCUUCCAAUGAACUCAUAACCGAAAAAUAUAUCAAAUCCUAACCAGUCGUCACUAAGAGAUGAUAUCCCGUGGUGUUGUAUGUGACCAGGUGCACAUUCCAUUGGAAAAGCUGACUGCUCCGCGUUCAGCAACAGGCUCUACAAUUUUAACUCCACCGUGCAGACGGACCCGAGCCUUGACCCAGUCUAUGCAGCCCAGCUGAAGCAGAAGUGUCCCCAGGGCACCACGGGUUCGAGCGUGCCCAUGGACCCUCCCUCUCCCCAGGUCCUCGAUUCCAGCUACUACAAAGGCCUUCUCGAGAACCGUGGCCUCUUCACCUCUGAUCAGACGCUCAUGUCCAGCCCAGCAACGGCGAGGCAAGUGAGGGCCAACCGGAACAACAAUUCCCUCUUCAACAAGAAUUUCGUGGCAGUAAUGAUGAAGAUGGUAAAAUUGACAUCCUCACUAGGACCGUAGGGCGAGAUCCAUUUGAACUACAGGGUCGUCAACAAAUGAUUUUUAUGGGUCGUCAACAUUACGCUAUAUUUGUCCUAUGUAUCUAAUGGUCUCUCCCCCUUUAUGAGCAAAGUAUAAAGCUCAUGGAGCAAACCUAUUGGCAUGUACUCUGUUCUGUGACACUAGGGUAUUGUGAUCAUGAUCGAUCGAUCGUCGGAUCGAUGAUCAUGAUUAAUUGAUUUUAAACGAUCAUGAUCAUGGAAAACGACCAUGAUCACGAUCACGAUCCGGGUCCUUGAUCAAUCGUCGAUCGGUCGGUGGAUUGAUGGCUACAAUGUACUAUCUGUUAGAUGAUGAGUUUUCAUCAUCCAACGGUUACAAUUCACAUCGACGAGAGAGAGAUGAAAUCUCUCUCUCACUCUCGUCUCUCACUCUCUUACUUUUGUUGCCUCUGUCCUCUUCUCAUUGGAAAGACCGACUUCACCGCCACCAAGUUCGCUGCCGCCAACUUCAUCACCACCGCCUCCCCCUCUCCCUCUCCCCCUCUCUCUCCCUUCUCUCCCUACUCUCUCUCUCUCUCUCAUUAGGGCUUCUCCGAAAAUGACCGAGCUGCUGCCAACCUCACUGUCACCACCUCUCCCCCUCCCUCUCAUCUCUCUCUCUCUUGCCCCUUCUCUCUCCCACCUCUCUCUCUCUCUCUCUCUCNNNNNNNNNNNNNNNNNNNNNNNNNNNNNNNNNNNNNNNNNNNNNNNNNNNNNNNNNNNNNNNNNNNNNNNNNNNNNNNNNNNNNNNNNNNNNNNNNNNNNNNNNNNNNNNNNNNNNNNNNNNNNNNNNNNNNNNNNNNNNNNNNNNNNNNNNNNNNNNNNNNNNNNNNNNNNNNNNNNNNNNNNNNNNNNNNNNNNNNNNNNNNNNNNNNNNNNNNNNNNNNNNNNNNNNNNNNNNNNNNNNNNNNNNNNNNNNNNNNNNNNNNNNNNNNNNNNNNNNNNNNNNNNNNNNNNNNNNNNNNNNNNNNNNNNNNNNNNNNNNNNNNNNNNNNNNNNNNNNNNNNNNNNNNNNNNNNNNNNNNNNNNNNNNNNNNNNNNNNNNNNNNNNNNNNNNNNNNNNNNNNNNNNNNNNNNNNNNNNNNNNNNNNNNNNNNNNNNNNNNNNNNNNNNNNNNNNNNNNNNNNNNNNNNNNNNNNNNNNNNNNNNNNNNNNNNNNNNNNNNNNNNNNNNNNNNNNNNNNNNNNNNNNNNNNNNNNNNNNNNNNNNNNNNNNNNNNNNNNNNNNNNNNNNNNNNNNNNNNNNNNNNNNNNNNNNNNNNNNNNNNNNNNNNNNNNNNNNNNNNNNNNNNNNNNNNNNNNNNNNNNNNNNNNNNNNNNNNNNNNNNNNNNNNNNNNNNNNNNNNNNNNNNNNNNNNNNNNNNNNNNCUCUCUCUCUCCUCCUCUCUCUCUCUCCCUCCUCUCUCUCUCACCUCUCUCUCUCUUGUCCUCUCUCUCUCUCACCUCUCUCUCUCUUGCCCCUCUCUCUCAUUAACAAAUAACAAAGUUCAUAAGUAUAUCUAGAAAUCUAUUUCAUGUAGGUUGGAUAGUAAGCUCAUUUAAUCUCAUUAUAUACAUAUAUAUUAAUAAAGUUAUGAAUUGCGGCUAAUAUAUGUAUAUGUAUAGUUACAAAGCUUAAUUUAUAUAUAUUAUUACAUUUAUUAAGCAUAAUAUAUGUCUUAAUAAAGCUAAAACUUAGGUCUAAUAAUAUAAAUAUAUAUUUAAUAUAUAUUAUAUAUUUAUAUAUAAUAAUAUUAAAUGACGAUCAGCCGAUCAUGAUCGAUCAAAUCGUGAUCACUAUAAGUGAUUUUGACUGAUUGGAUCAACGAUCGAUCAUGAUCGCAGUACCUUAUGUGACACCAUAUUAAAGUAUAUGCCAUCGUUCUCUAGUUAAUUGUCAAAUAAAAAUAUGGUUAUUGUAAAGGUACUUAGAUUUAUUGAUUAGAUCUCUGAUUAAAAUAAAAUGUCAUAUCAAAUCAACGGAAAUAAAAUGAGUCGUACACCGUCACCUCACCACACCGAGGAGGAGAAAGAACGAAAAUUCAUAAAACUAAAAAGAUUUGAGUCAUAAAAAAAAUCAAACCAAAUCUAAAUAAUAGUCAACAUAAAUCUCUCCCUGUUGUUUUGAUGAACGUGGGAAGAACACGACAGUCACACACAGGUGACAAAGAUGGUUGAUCCUCGCUCUGCUGUGCCAACGGAGGAGAGUUCCACGCAAGGGGAAGGAGGAUGAUGUGAUCGUGAAUGAGGGAAAGCUGUCGGCGCCCCCCUUCCCAUUUAAUUUAAGGCCCUACUAUUUAACUUCCCCUUUUGGCCCUACUAACCUAAAAAAUUACAAGGAAAGCCCACCAUUUUAUAAGGAAAAGGACGAGACGAGGCGGGAGGAGGCGGGAGGAGGCGGAAGGGUAGGAAGAGGUCCUUGGGCAGGUCUAGACCAGGCAGAAGAUGAACGACACUUGUUGCGGUGGCAGUGGCCGAUGCUUCAGUACCGCUGCGUCAACGAGGGCGGCCCCGAGCACGCCAAGAGGCUCGUCUAUUCGGUCCGCGUGAACACGUCCGACUUUCGUUGGACCGACGAGUGCGUCGGAGAGCCCAUGUCCAGUGUGAAGAAGGCCAAGGAUUCCACGGACACAUCUCUUCUCUAAUUACUUAAAAAAACACUGACCUGCUUCUCCGUCUUAUCUAUUCGUCUCCGCGCGUUUGCUUUCAGGGCGCCUUGUUGGUCUCUUAACGUUUGCUUUUAUUGCUCUCCAUGAGAGAGACAGAGACACAGAGAGAACGUGCGUGUGUCGUGAAGACGACGUCUUUCUCUCUCCCCCUAUCUCUCUCAGUGGCGUAACUGUUCAUCUCUGCACGUUUGCUUUUUUAUUUCUAUCCGAGAGCGAUAGAGAGAUAACGUGGGGCCUCCUGAAGACGAUGUCUAUCCCACUCUUUUCGACGUGGCGCGCCUUGUUCUCUAUGCACAUUUAUUUUUAUUGCUCUCCAGGGGGAGAGAGAGAGAGACGAUACCACUCCAGCGGACAGCCGAAAUUGAGGUCCCGUCUGAUCGAUAGGCAAUCUCCCUAAGAACUUCGCAACAACUGUCUCACAGUUCUCGUUUAGACAACACAGGUAUUUAUUUCAUCAUGGCCAUGGGAGUACGACGGCCUAAACCUACACGAUAACAACAGGCUGACCCUUCAACUCGGGGCGAAGCACUGAUUUGACCUCGAACCCUGCAUACUGACGCUGGACGGCGGUGUCAUCGGGUCCUCGCCUUUGAACUUCUUCCUCUCCGCCUGCAGCAGCUACGUCCUAGUCAACCACUUCCUCUUCAAGGCCAAUCAGGCAGUUUCUCUUCUUGGAUAAGGCAAACAGAAAGACCGCGAUGGACAAUAUUACCACAGCCUUACCUCUUCUUUCGUAGGCCCAUGGCAGCCGCGGUAUGCCCGGGACAAGCGAGAAAAUCCGGAGGAAUUGCCGGGGGUCAUCAAUCGAUUGAAAAUGAACAGUUCUGAUGGUUGAUGCCUACUUUCAGUUCAUAUAUUUUCACCUUAUACCGUAGAGAUUUCACAUAAUUUUUGUCACCUAAUAUUUAACUGGAGACGGUAGGGUCUGGCUUUCAUAUUAGCGAUCAGCUACCUUUUAAUCAUCGCGGAAUUCUACAGAACGCAGAUAAAACUUAAUAUCAUGGAAUCAUGCGUAGCGUAAAAAUACACAUUAUUGCAUUGUCGAAAGGUAAAUAGAUAUUAAAAUUAAAAUAUAAAAAAUAGUAUUAAAUCAAUUUUUCCCGACUAUUAUUUGCUUGCAUUAAAUAUAUAUCCUACAUGAUGUGAUCAAAUCCGUAAAAUUGAAUGAAAAUGACGAGGCAUUCAACAAGAAGAAGUAUUACAGUGAGAGAUGAAUUGGGAUAAUAAUAAAAAUAGGCAAAGUAGUCUUUCAUCGGAAAAGCUUAUAUCUAGAAUAAAAAUUUAAUGUAAACUAUAAUAACUUUUUCCCCAGUGGUGAGUUUGAUAUUGAAAACUUAAAACUCAAAGAAAUUAGCAUAACUUUCUCGGAAACUCGUUUGAUGAGAAUAAGCGUACCUUCUAUAUAUCAGGUAGAUAUCGGCCAAUUUCAUAUACCUUUCGAUGCAUUCUCUCUACUUUUCCGUAUGGAAUGAACUAUCAAGAAACUCAGAAAUCACCUGUAUCGUUCGCUAGUUUCAGACGACUUUGACACAGUUUAGCUGUUCAAAGUUGGCAUAAUCCUUGGAUGGUAUGAUAUGCUUCAUGUCUUGAUCAAAUUACAUCUCUUCGAGGGGUUAGCUUGUCUGAUGCGACUUGUCUAUUCAAAUGGGCACAAUUCCAAGUUUUGUCCCAAUUUUAUCUGUUCAUGUAGCUCUUGUGAAGCUUUCAAUCUCUAAAUCAUUUGUUACUCAUCUCUGAUGAAAAGUAUGUGGGCUUCGUUUUUGAGAUUCCCCAUAUUAUUAAAGAAAGGGAAACAAUUAUCUGUUUGCUUGUCGGGUGCUGCCAAUUUUAAGCGAAUAAUGCUAUGGGCAACGUUUGAUCAUCCCGCACGUGGCGUUGUUUCGGAUUUACAAAUCCAUAAAAUGAUGUGGACCAGCAUGCCGCGGUGAAUCUGUACCCGGGCCCUGUGCACACUCUCGGAGGCUUCCUUGUGAUGAUAUUUUUUUUCAACCAACGCAGGCCUAUCUUCUUUUAUGUCGGUAAUCCCCCCACAGGUAUUUAUUACUGACAACGCGAUUCUCUGGCUGAACGACCCUCUACCUAUCGGCACAUGAGAGUAGGUGAUGUAUCGAGGUUAAUGAGAAGAAAAGACACCGAUUUAAUGAUACAUUUGUCACCUCGUCUCUUUAAAGUCAACGUCCAUUUGAUGUGAUUCCCAGAACUUUCUUUUAUUCAGAUUCCACGGAGCAGCUCAACCUCUACGCUCCCACCCCAACCUCUCCCCACCCCUCCCCUUCCCGAACCGCACGUAUUUUGCUACCACAUCGCGUCUCCGAGCUAUUAUCGUUUCACAUCCUUUCACAUUGGCCUCUUUCUACGUCACAUGGCGCGGCGGAAUUACUUCAUUUUGGGUCAAUGAAGUAGUACCAAUAUCGAAAAAAUGGUUGUCGUGUGUACCUUACGCUCGAGCCACAUUUUAGGGAUGAAGCAAAGGAAUUUCGAGGGUAUCAAUAAGAGCCAAAGAACGAUGGGGUCGGGGGAGAGGUGGUGAUGCUGGACCUUUUAUCGCUUCAUGAAUCGGAAUGAAUAUGACUUUGUUAGUAACUCUCUCCGAUAUCUCUCCCCUGUUCAGGCUUCAUUUAUGGGUGGCGACCGAAUUUCGGCUUGCUAUAGUAAGGAUACCGUUCCUAUUCCUAAUCAGUGAACUCCAUGCCUUUGAAAAAUGUAAAUGCAUCGGAUAUUAAAUUCUUUUUUGAGCUGCUUUCAGAUUUGGUGCAGCUAAUAUAAAAGUAAUCCUGCUAUGUAAAGAGACAACGCAGAAUUCAGAGCAUUCUUGCUGAAGAAUAAAAAGUAAAGCUUUAGGAGGGUCUCCACAGAACGAUUACGACAACAUGAGAUAUAUGCAUAUCAGAAUGUUGGAGAAUAUAACAUUUGUUGAAUCCUAGUUAGAAGACCAGCAUAAAGAAUGCGUUCUUUUGAUUCGUUGAAGCUAAAUAUUUAAAAAUGCAUAAGAAAUACUGACUGGUAAUCUCAAGCAAUUAUAAUAUCUUGAACAUAGGAUGGAAUUUCAACUUGUUUUCAUAAGAAGUUAUCUCGCCCACUAUAGAAGAGAAGUGGAUAAGCGCCUCGAAGCACAAGUGCGAACAGGUCCAGAUUUUAGGCUGUGCAUAGACAGAAAAAAGAGAGGUUCACUCCGUAAUUGAAGAGCUAAUUUGAUGACCAACGUGUAGAGGCAUUAAGUAAAGGAAAUUGAUCCCUUCUUUAGGGGAGUGGAGAAGAUGAACAAUCAACGGAUAGACGAUCGUGGUCGUGGGGAUCACACCUAUUGCACCAACCCCUUUCACAACGUAGCUGCAGAGAAUGUCUCUACCCAUGAGACACUAAAGUCAAAUAUCGAAAAUCUUCUAAGAUCUUGAUCAAUCAUCUAAUUUGAUAUUAAUCUUCCAUCAGCCCAUCCGGUCAGUUGGCCCAUUUCCUUGAAACAAGUCCUGCCUUUCAGAGAGUGCGAUUCUCUCUUUCCUAUUAUACUGUUGAAGUCAUUGGUUCAGUGGAGGAAGAUCAGCAUUCCGCGGAUAAGAGUUCGGCGCUGCACUUGGAUUACUCAAGGAGUUCAUGGGAGAUACAGGGCACUAAAGCUGUGAUAUUUCAUUAAGAAACAAUAUAUUUUCACUAUACUAAAGCUUACAAGAAAACCUGACGCUGCCAUGCAUGCGUCAUGCUAUUUAGCAUUUGAUUGCCACUGUGGCUUAUUACAUUUGAUUGAGGACUCGACAUAACAGUAAUCUUAAAAUCAAGAACAAUCCAAGAUAGGCGCAAACACAGUUUCAGACGGGAAUCCAAACAUUGUUCAAUUGAUCACCCUACAGUUCAAUCUUAUCUCUCCUUUUUUCCCGGUGAGCACUUCGAUAUUGCCCAUCUUCACCAUAGCCUCAGCAAAUCUCUUCUUGAAGAGGUGCUCGUUGGCCGCGUUCUGCUUCACCAGAUUAGCGGUCUUGGAACUCGACAG
This 59675-nucleotide long non-coding RNA is filed under the name Spirodela polyrhiza (greater duckweed). Its description in RNAcentral is "long non-coding RNA (SPOL_LNC000351)". The stretch from base 23234 to 23340 matches the Rfam family "Plant small nucleolar RNA R71". Lineage: Eukaryota; Viridiplantae; Streptophyta; Magnoliopsida; Alismatales; Araceae. The record is from RNAcentral.